Molecule: long non-coding RNA, 44277 nt
Filed under: Vitis vinifera (wine grape)
Lineage: Eukaryota; Viridiplantae; Streptophyta; Magnoliopsida; Vitales; Vitaceae
Description: long non-coding RNA (VVIN_LNC001392)
Source: RNAcentral
GAUAGCAUAAGUAGUAGUAGGAAGCAGCUCUUAUUUGUGGCGUCGGUAUACAUCAUACUAGGUAGAUGGUUCAAUUGGCAUGGAUGGGUGGUGGAGCCUUGAAGUGCUUGUGAUGGGGAGCCCACGGCUUCUUCUCAGGAGUUGGUGGCUUCUUGUAUGGAGUUGAUGGAGGUGUUUCUACUGGAGGGUGGCCAGGGUAGUGACCCUGGGGUGGUGAAGGUUCUUUUGUCGGUGGUGGCCUCACUAUUAUUGGCGGUAGAGUUGGUGGCUUGGGCGUUGGCGGUGGUCUCACUACUCUUGGGGGUAGAGUUGGUGUCUUGUGUUUUGGUGGUGGAGGUGGCUUAACAGGAGUUGGUGGCUUGUAUUCUGGGGGUGGUUUCUCCACCGGAGGUGGCUUAUAAACUGGAGUUGGUGGCUUGUAUUCUGGGGGUGGCUUCUCCACUGGUGGUGGCCUGUAAACAGGGGUUGGUGGCUUAUAUUCUGGGGGAGGCUUCUCCACUGGAGGCGACUUAUAAACAGGGGUUGGUGGCUUGUAUUCCGGGGGUGGCUUCUCUACGGGAGGUGGCCUGUAAACAGGGGUUGGUGGCUUCUCCACCGGAGGUGGCUUAUAAACGGGGGUUGGUGGCUUGUAUUCUGGGGGUGGUUUCCCCAGUGGUGGAGACUUGUAAACAGGAAGAGGUGGUUUGUGCUCAUAUGGGGGUGGCUUGUGGUCAUUAGCAAGUGAGGGAGUGGUGAGGACCACCAAUCCAAGGAACAACACGAGUGAGCAAGCAGAAGACAUGUUUGGGCUCUGGUGAUGCACAAGUAGAAGAAAUGGGAACCAUUUAUAAUGCUUCGAGACCUUGGUUAGCACCAAAAUAUGUCAAAAUCUUGAUUACUUCAUUUCAUACAUAGAUUUAAAAUUAUUUCAAUCAACCAUGAUCCUUAAUUUUCUGGGUGGUCCAUAAAUGUAAUGGGGUCAAUUUGGGACCUAACAAGCUGAGAAGUUUGACAAUGCUGCAAGGCUUCAUCCGAAAGUCCGGGGAAGAAUAUUAGGAGUUACACUCCGUUUCCUUUUUUGGGUGCAUUUUUCUCCUUUAACAUUCUAUUCCCUUUUACAUUAGCAUUUGAUCUUAGCUCAUUUCAAGUACAAGUUUCUUGAACCCUAUACCAUUGUCAAAGUUGAGUAACCAUCUCUACUUUGCUCAAGAAACAUAAAAGACAAUGACAAUAAAGAAAAAGGAGAGAGACCAUACGUGACUUGGUUUAUAGGUGGCUUUGUGUUGACAUUUGAGUAUGGAAGCCGACAUGCAUCUUAGCUUCGAUUUUAAUUAAAUUUGUACAUUAGUGUCUGUGUCAUUCAUUUUGGUAUAAAAGGUCUCUUGAUUUCGUAAGUUUGGUAAGAACCGUUGAAAAUAGCAGUAGCAGCACAUGGUCCACUUUCUUUCACAAAAUAAUUUUAAAAGUUUAGAAGCAUAGGAGGUAACAUUAGUGGCCUUGUGGCUCAGCCACGAGUACUAUGUGGUGCUCGAGAAAUUGAGUUUAAUUUCCUUCCGAUAGUUCAUGAUAAGGUCCGUCACUGUCCUGAGACAGAUUGCGUUUUUUCUUUUUUCCUUUUUUAGUGUUUUAUUGACUAGCUAGGUGUGACUUUUCCUACUUUAAGGCACGAGGCAGAAAAGAAACUGGGAUUUAGUGCUUAAGAAGGCAAAUUUAAUUCGAUUUGGAUCUAAAAUUUGCCAGCAACAUGAGAUUUUCCAGCCUAUCGUUGCUCCACAUAUAGACAAGGCACUUGUAGAAGUGGCUUGUUUGUAGCCAUUCCCGAUAUUUGGACUCACUUGAUUCACCGGACACUUUGAUAAAAUUUAAUAUUUAUUAUUUAAUAAUUUAAAUUGAUUUAAAAUUAAAUUAUACCGAAGUUGUGAUUUAAAAAUUAUUAUUUAAUUCUUACUUUUAAAUAUGAAGAUUAUUUGAUAAAAAUAAUUUAAAAUUUAUUAUAAAUUAUCAAAUUAACAUAUUUAUCCUUAUAAAUUAUAAUUAAAACAGAAAAGGUCAAAUGAUUUGAGUAUCCAUAGAUGUGGUAAAAUAAUAAAAAAGAUUAUAAAAACAAUUAUGAUAAAUAAAGAUAAAAAGUAAAAUGAAUAUGUGAAUUUAAAGAAUAAAUUAAUUAUUUUUAUUUAUUACUUAAAAUUAUUUUUGACUUUAAAUUAUAUUAUUAAAUUAUUUUACCAAACAUACUUAAUUUAGUUAAUAAUUUAAAUUUAAUUUAAGUUAUUAAAUUGAUUCACCAAAUACCCACUUAAUCAAAGACUGAAGUAUACAUUAUUUGGCCAAAUGCAGCUAUUGAAAUUUAACUUUUUCCAAACUUAUUCAUUUUGUGGAAAUAUUUUUAGAAAUGAUUUUAAAAAUGCACUAUUCUGUGUGUUGAUUUUAUAUUUUGGCAUUAAUCCAACAUAGAAAACGGUUCUUAUUUUCGCUGUUAAAUAGGUACCAGAUCCUUAAUUAGUGCCGUGAAUCCGGCAGCUUCCAAUGAGUAAUUUGGACUUGGGUAUUGACAAUGUGUGGCCAUGCUUCUACUAUUUUAUUAUUCUUGAAACAUAUAUGAUAUAUUGGACUUUAUACAGGGAAAAAAAAAAAAAAAAGUCUUCACCAAAAAUGAUUCCUCCUAAAAAAUAGACUCCACAAACUAGGUUUAACAGGAAAAUGAUUCUAAUCUAGUAGUUUCCAGCCACAUGAGCAUUUACGUAACAAUAGUAUAGUUGAUAACGACUUUUAUUUUAUUUAUUUUUAAAUAGUUAAAGGGAUAAUUUUUGAGCUUAAAUUUUAUUUUUUUAUUUAGAAACAUUUUACUUUAUUUUUUAAUCAUAAUUCUAUUAUAUUAAUGUUUUAUUUUCUAUUUUUUAAUAUAUAAGGAGAUACUAAAUUUAUGUGAUUAUUUUUUAAAAAUUUAGUAUAUGAAAUUAAAUAAUUGGAUAUAUAUACAUAUAUCAUAUAAUGUUUUUUAAGUGUGAUUUUUGAACUUUUUAGUCAUUUUAUAAGUUUAAGCUUUUGAUUUUUUUUUUUAAACUUUGGUAUUUUUUAUUUUAUAUAAAACUAUUUUGAUUUAAUUUUAUUAAAAAAUAUUGGUAUUAUAAAUUAUUGUAUUAAUUAUUUUUUUAUAUUAUAAUGUAACUGGUAUAUACUAAAAAAUGUAUGCAAGUUCAAUUUAAGUUUCAAAUUAAAAAAUUUCAUUUAAAUAUUUAAUAACUUGUUCAUAAUAAAAAAUUAAACAACAUAAUACAAAUGAAAAGAAACAUAAAAGAAAAAGGAAAAAAUGGUCCUCUCUGUGUGUCACAUUACUAGGUCAUCCUCUUUUUCUAUGACCCUUACAAUAGAAUGGCAUAUUUGUCAAAUCUACUUAUGAAAGUUGGAAUGUUUCUACAUGUGUAGGGUCCAUUGGAACUAAUGGAGGAAAGGCUUAACGUCUAUGUAAAUCACAACGUUGCCUAGGUGGGCAUAGAUCUAGUUGUGUAACAUGAGAUGGUGUGAGAGUACAAUAUAUGCAUUGUAGUCUCUAUGGGAAGAGAGAUAGGUAAUGGUAGGGUGGUAGACGGUAGGGUGAUCUCUAAUAUAAUGACAUUUGAUGUGGUGGCUUCUAAGAGAGGAGAUAUAAGAGAUGGUAGAAUGACAUUUGGUGUAAUGGUCUCUAGUGCAAUGACAUGUGAUAUGGUGACCUAUAAAGAAGAGAUAUAGGUGAUGGUGAAGUGGUAUGUGGUGUAGUGACCUUUGAGAUAGAAAAUAGAGGUAAUGGUAGGUUGGCAGGUGGAGUGGUCUUUGGUGUAGUGACAUCAAUUAUAAAUGUCUCCAAGGGAGGAAAUAAAGGUGAUGGUAGGUAGUAAAUGUUGAGGUGGUCUUUGAUAUGUUAUGCUCUAAGAGAGAAGGUAUAGGUAAUGAUAAUAGGGAAUUUGACAUAGUGGUGUUGGAAAUAAAAAGUGAAAGUGACCGUAGAGGUGAAAGGGCAAGUGUAAAAGCCUCAAGUACGAAUGGAGUAAUUAAUGUGGAUGGUGCUAACAUAGUCUUAGGUGGAUACACAAAUAGUCAUAGUCAUCAACUAGCUUGCCCACCAUCUGUCUUUCUGCUAGUGAUAGGUUACAUCUUAAUAGUAAUGGCCAACAUAAGUGGUGUGGAUCCGAUUUUUUUACGUGUGUCCCCACUCAAUCGACAAGACUUAUUUUUUAUUAGUGAAAAAUUAAUUUUGGAAAAGUUGGAGUCACCACUUAUUUUAUUUUAUUUUAAAAAGGAAAGUAAAACAAGAAAGAGAACUCUAAAGAAGUGACUUCAUAGUUUUGGAAAAGUUAGUCUUAAAAAAUCCAAGUCUUGGUCCGGAGAUCAGGUUACUUAUUGGGAAGAUACCUCUAAGAGGUAAUACCCCUCUAAACCCUAAAGAAGUCUCUAAUGACUAAGUUGAGGAGAAUGUGGUAAUUAAUUAAUUGAUUGAGGGUACCUAGGUAGACUAAGGUGAUUUCAGAAUUAACAUACCAAGCUAGAAAGUCCAAUCAUGAUCAUAAAAGAGAGUCAAAGUAUGUACCUGAACUGCUUCUCAAACGCUAUCAUAAAACAUCAAAGUUAGUAUAGAAAUAUAACACAUAAUAUUUGUUUUAUCCAAGCAAAUAAAGCAUACAUCUAAGCACCCAAGAAUCACAUCAAGUAUGGAUAUAGUCAUCAAUAGCAUACGUGUCCAUAGAACUAUCGAAAGUAAAUGUGGAGGAGCGUAUCUGGACAACAUAGAUAACUUAUAAUGUGCUUCCACAAGACAUGGGGGUUAGAUAAAAGUUAUAAUAAUAAUUAGUAAAUGAAAGAAUUCUAGCAUGUUUGGUAUCUAAAUAACAUAGCAAAAAUGAACAAGAGUACACGAAAACAUCAAUUAUCACACGAGUCAUAUUGGCUAGUAUUUAAUCAAUAAACCAACAAUAAAUGACUAUAAACAUAUAAAAUGACAUAUUCAAAGAGACCCAAACAUAAAGAGCCUAGAACACAAGCUUACACUAAAUUUAGAAAACUAAAACAUGGAAUUUUAAAAGCAUAAAUUAGCAAACAAAUUGAUGGAAACUAAAUUUAGAUAACUUAAGAAUAUUUUUCUUAUCCUUCAAUUUAAAUCAGUAAGCCAACAAUAAAAAAUUAUAGAAACAUGGAAUAUCAAGAUCAAUGGGAUACCUAAACUAUAAUUUUUAAAAGAAAAUAAACUAAGCAUAAUAUCUACAAAGCAACUAAACUAACAUUUUUUUAAAAAUAAAUUAAACAUGACAUUAAUGGAGUAACCAAACUAAAUUAAAGUAAACUAAAAACAUUUAUGAAUUUUCAAACAUGGAAUCAGCUUUCUUAGUAAAUUAAAAUUAUUAAAAUAAAAUCUAAGCUUAAAAAUGAAUUAAAUACUAACUAAAGCAAAUCUAAAACCAAAUAUUUAACACAUAGGAUCAAUUAUAUUAACAAACUAAAAUUUUAUAAGAACACUUAAACCUAAAGUUGAAUUAAAAACUAACCAAUUUUUAAAACUAGAUCUUUAACCCAUAGGAUCAAUUAUAUUAACAAAUAAAUAAUAAAUAAUAAAUAAAUAAAACUCAAACCUAAAGAUGAACUAGAAAUGUACCAAAGUAAAUUCAAAACAAGAUCUUUAACACAUUAGAUCAAUUAUAUUGACUAACUAAAAAAAAAAAAAAAAAACACUCAAACCUGAAACGAUGUAUUAGAAACUAACCAAAGCAAAUUUAAAAUAGAGUCUUUAACACAUAGGAUCAAUUAUAAUCACUAACUUAAAUUACAAUUUUUGAAACAUGAACUAAUUAGUGUUGGAUUAAUUAAACUAAUUAACUAAAAAAAACUAUAAACUAGAAUACGGUGAAUCAAGAAUUCAAAUCAACAAACAUAAAAUAUGGGUACAAUGAAAUGAAAAUCUAUUAAACUAAUAAGACGGAAAUAUGACAAACUCAUGAACCCACAUUUUGAUCAACUAGGAAAUAGAAAUUAAUAGACCUGUAGCAUGGAUACAAUGAAAUGAGAUCAGUUAAAUUUAUUUGCCGAAAUUCUAAAAAACACAUACACUCAAAUAAGAUCUAAAUCUAAGACCAAGCAAAACUCAAACUUUCUCAAUCUAAUGCAAUGAAUCAAAACUAAAAUUAAAUAGAAAUCAAACCAUUUUUUUUUUAUCUAAUAUAAUAAAUCAAAGCUAAAACUAAACAAAAUCGAAUUUUCUUAAUUUAAUAUGAUGAGUCAAAGCUAAAAUUGAACAAAGUUCAAACCUUUAUAUAAUGGAUCAAAGUUAAAUCUAAAUGAAAUCCAUACUUCCACAAUUUGAUAUAACAAAUCAAAAAUAAAACUAGAUAAAAAAAAAGUCAAAGCCUUUCAACUUGACAUAGUGAAUCCAAACUGAAACGAAACAAAAUUUUAACUUUUCCAAUGAAACCCAAUAUAGAAAAAAUUAGCUUACCUUCUUUAGAAUAUAUGUAUGGGCCAUAAAGAAGUCACCUUGGUGCAUGUGUUCCUCACUUUGACGCCAAUGGACGACUUUCUAUGGUAGCAAAUGGAGAUCCUUUUUGGUGGUAACUUGCGUGUGGAAACCUAUGGUACAACCAAUGUCAUCUUUUAUUGUGCGUGUGGACCAAUUUCUUCUCGAGAACUCAUGUGUGUUGUGCUCAAAAUAUGUUGCCUGUGAGAAUCUAUUGGUAUACCCCACAUAUGGUUUCCUUGAGAGAAUCUGUGGUUGUGUGUGGGCGUUUUCUUCAUGACAGCAUGUGGAUGUUCCCAUCUAUGGUAGAUUGGUUGUGAUGCUUUAGUGCAUGGUCUCCAUAGGAAUAGUGUGUUAUGGAAAUUUGGUUUUUUUAUUGGUGCAUGUUGUCUAGACUUUCCCAUAUGCGUGGACUGUGUGUUCAUGCUUUUCUUUUCGGAUGGUCGCCUGUGUUAAUGUGUGGCGGUGUCUACAAUGAAAGAUACAACCCUUUCUCUCCUUCUGCGUGAUAGAAAAGUCAAUCCCCCAUGGUGCGACUAUGUUCCCUCGUCCUUUUUGAAAAAUUUUGGUGUUUUCCCCCCAAAAAAUCCCCUCCAAAAAUCUAAUUAUAAAUGUCUGCUUUGGCCUAAUGUGUGUGCUACUUUUUUUUUCCUUCUUUUUAUGGUUGUGCGUGCUUUUCUUGAUACGUGGCUUAUUUCUUAAGGAUAUGAUUCGCUCCCAAUUGGUGUCUCAGCUGAUUCAUGUCCUUUCAAUGGUCCCUGACAGUGGUGCCAUUUGAUUCGUGUCCAGCUGGUGUCCCUUGAUUGUGGUCCUCAGAAGGGAGUAAUCAAUAAAAUUUAUAACCUAUUACACCAUGUAUUAGGAUAGCCUUAGCUAGCAUAGCAUAGUGGCUCUAGGGUCGUUUAUUGGGAUGAGUUUUCACUUCACAAUUGAUAUUAAUUCAAGAGCUGAAUUGGUGCCUUUUCAUUUCAAGGUUAGCUUUAAAAGAAAACAUAAUCUUUGGUGGAAAAAGGUUUGGUUUUAAACUAACCAAAAAUAGUAACUGAUUUUACUUACAAAGAAAAGUGUUCUUUGGAGUUUAGAUCACUAGGCUCAGGUUCCUCAUACAAAAAGGAGAGUUCCGAUCAUUUGUUUCUUUUCCUCGCAUUAGAGAAUUAACAUAUAGUUAAUUCUCUAACCGGUGCGGUACAUAUGCUUCCCAUUAAUGGGUUCAAACACUAAAUACCUCUCACUGAUGCACCUUGCAAUGGCUCGUGCCUCUCACCUAGCAUUUAUCAUUCAAGGUGAUCUUUAACCUUGGAUUACCCAUCAAAAGCUCGCAAGAGAUAACUAAAGGAUGUCUCCUUAGAGUCCAAAAGCUUACCAAGUGUUGGUUAUUCUAGAAAAUCCUACCUUCAAACCACCUCCCAAAGGCUCGCAAGAGAUAAACAAGUGCAUCUCAAUGGAUGAAGAUCACUUGCCUUACCAAGUUUUGGCCCAGAUGAUUUAAUGACAUUUUAAGUUAACUAAAAAGAUAAAAACCAUUAACGGGUCACACUUUCUCUUCAUUAAAAACUAAAACAACAAAACUUCCAAUUUAUGCAUGAGGAAACUUACCUGGCUUUCUUCACUUCAAGAGAUGAAGAGCCUAGCCACUCAUCAUUUGAGGAAAAAUCCUCAGAGUUUGAUUUGCUAGAAAUAAAAAUAAUGAGAAAACAAAAAUAUAUAUAUGAAAAACAGAGCAAGUUCUCUGUAAUAUAUUUUUCUUCCUUAUACAAAAGGUUGUCUCUAAGAACAAGUUCCCGAGAUCUAUCUGAUUGUAAAUAAAAUUACAACUAUAUAUAAGAGGUUAUUCACCCCUUUGUUCUUUCUUAAAGACUAAGGAAUCCUAUGAUAGGUGGGUUACAAGGAGAGUUUGGGGAUUUAGACAUCAAAUAUCUAAAGCAAAAUAUCUCAAGAUGUUAGUCGGAAAUAUCAGGAAGCUUCAGGAGAACACCGCGACACUGUAUACUGAGAGAAAAACUCUCCGGGUAAGCUCUAUCAAAGGAUCCAGACAUGUCUGACUGGGAAAGUUGAAACGUCCUUCUCUCCCAUCCGGAUGUGAGAUAUCCGGAGAAAGUGAAAUGUCGGUCGGACAGAAUUCUUUCCCCGGGUGGAAUGAGUUGUGUUGCGCGUCGCAAGGGGGACCGUCUGCGUGUACAAGUUGUAGGGACCCCUCUCCCGGAUGACACCGAGCGCGUAAGGCUAUCCGGAUCAACUCCAUUCGGAUUCCCCAAGAGGACAUGUGGCGUGCUCCCCUAUCAGGACUCCCUUAGGGAGAAGCACACGACACUCGUGAACAUCAUACCCGGACGAUAGCAUGUCCUAUCCGGAUGUGUUGUCCGGAUCAUUGACUAAAGUGAGCAAGCCUUGCUACGUCAUUCGGACAGCUUGCCACAUACCAUGUUCCGUCGCCAUCUGAUGGUGUGUCCGAACGCCUUGUCCGGACAUCUUUUGCUCCUUGCAUUCCGGAUUUGCUUAUGACAAAGGACUUCAAAGCUUCGGUUCUUCAUGUUUCUGAGCUUUCCAUUGCUUUGCCAUGGAUUCCAAAGAACUCUCCUUAAUCACGGAUUGCUUUGGUGAUCAAAAAGUUAUCAAAACACAAAAACUUAACAUAGUUUGAUUAGAAUUGAUUGCAAGGGUUCUUAAUAUGUUAAUUGGGUUAAAAGGUGAUAACUACUACUCAAAAGUGUUUAUAAGAAUUAAUUACAAGCUAUGAAAUAACACUUUUUGAGUAGUAAUCAGGAUACAUCCUAGUUUUUCAUGGAAUUGAUAGUGGGUUGUUGUGCAUGAAUGCCACCAUUUCAACUAUGCUGUUGUUAUUUUUAAAAAAAAUAUGGAUUAUGCGCGAGUGGCAAUUCUCCACUAUGGAAAGUGGAUUGCUCCUUCAACCCAUGCAUGGCUACGUAUUCCUAUGUCUUUCUACUUGUGUUUGAUCCUCCAAAAAAAAUUUCGGUUUAGUGCUAGUAGAUUUUAAGUGGUGGAUCCCCAUUUUUUGAAAAUGAAGUGGCAGCCUCCCAUUUCAAGACAAAAUGGUAGCCUGCCUUUAAUCUUUGGAGAAAAAUCUGUGCAUGACCUUUUUUUUUCCCAAAAAAUCCGUGCAUGGUGUCCUUUAAUAUUUGGAGAAAAAUCUAUGUUGGAUCUUUUCUUUUCUAGAAACAUUUGUGUGGUCUUUUUUGUUAGCCCAAGGGUUCUUCUAAUCAAGUUUUGAUGAUAACAAACCAUGGUUAAGUGACUAAUUGGUUUAAUGAUUAAGAAUCUCAAACAUAAAAUCGAAAAUUCAUCAAAGGACCAAAUGGAUACAAGAUCGAGACGCUUGGAAGACUUGUAAUCAUAGGAAACUAAUGUAAGAUGAAUGCAUGAGUGCACUUAGGAUUUUCACACGUUUCAUGCAACUUAGAAAACCCAGUUUAUUCUUUAAAACUUCAUCCCAGUUUAUUCUUUUUAUGGUUGUGUGUGCUUUCCUUGAUACGUGGCUUAUUUAUUAAGGAUACAUCCCAGUUUUUCAUGGAAUUGACAGUGGGUUGUUGUGUGUGAAUGCCACCAUUUCAACUGUGCUGUUGUUAUUUAAAAAAAAAAAAAAUGGAUUGUGCGCGAGUGGCAAUUCUCCACUAUGGAAAGUGGAUUGCUCCUUCAACCCAUGCAUGGCUACGUAUUCCUAUGUCUUUCUGCUUGUGUGUGAUCCUCCAAAAAAAAUUUUGGUUUAGUGCUAGUAGAUUUUAAGUGGUGGAUCCCCUUUUUUUGAAAACUAAGUGGCAGCCUCCCAUUUCAAAACGAAGUGGUAGCCUGCCUUUAGUCUUUGGAGAAAAAUCUGUGCAUGACUUUUUUUUUCCCAAAAAAUCCAUGCAUGGUGUCCUUUAAUAUUUGGAGAAAAAUCUAUGUGGGAUCUUUUAUUUUCUAGAAAAAUUUGUGUGGUCUUUUUUGUUAGCCCAAGGGUUCUCCUAAUCAGGUUUUGAUGAUAACAAAUCAUGGUUAAGUGACUAAUUGGUUUAAUGAUUAAGAAUCUCAAACAUAAACUCGAAAAUUCAUCAAAUGACCAAAUGGAUACAAGAUCGAGACGCUUGGAAGACUUGUGAUCAUAGGAAACUAAUGUAAGAUGAAUGCAUGAGUGCACUUAGGAUUUUCACACGUUUCAUGCAAUUUAGAAAACCCAGUUUAUUCUUUAAAACUUCAAUUUCAUUAAAACCCGAGUUUUUAACUAAUGUACCUUAGGCAAAAUGUUUUAUAAUUGGCUUAAUAAUUCACCUAAAUACAUUUUCUAAGUGUUAGAAAAGAAAGGAAUUAAAAAAAGGUUUUCGGGGCAAAAAAGGCUCAACCGGUCGAGGCUAUGGUCAACCGGCUCAACCGGUUGAGGAACCAAUCGAUCGGUUGUGCUUGUCCGAUCGAAGACCAAUCGAGGGAUGCCAAAAAAUUUCUCUCUCUCCUAGUGGCCUUCUCUUCCCGGUCGAGGUUCGGUCUAGGCAACGGUAACAUGUCAAGCAUUAAAUGCUCCGACGACUAGUGAAUCGGUCGACCCCUAGCCCGAUCGGACGAGGUUGCCUUUUGCUGUUUUUGACUCCCGAGCUUAGAAACCUAUAAAUUGAGAGCUCCACUUCAUUUAUUGAUAAAAGAGAACACUUGCAUUCAAUAGUCUACCUACCUUUUCUUGAUCAAAAAGCUCUCAUUUCCUUCAUAGUGCAUUAAAUCAUCACUUGCAUAUCCUUUAGUGCACUAUUGUGUGUCAUCCUAGCUUUGUUUUGUAUUUGAGCUAUCCUUAAGCUAGGUUGAGGGAUUAUUUCUUAUAAAAAUCUGAGUGUUAAAGCCUUCAAGAGAUUUGAAUCUUGAAGAGAUUGUGUAAGAGCCCAUUGGAGCCGGAGUCCAAGUGUAAGAAGAUUGGAAGCUUGGUUGAAGCUUCAAGUUAGUGGAACCCUCACUCGGUUAGGAGGUUGAGGAGAGUGGACGUAGGUAAGGAAGUGUCGAACCAUUAUAAACCCGAGUUUGAAUUCUCUAACUCUAUCUCUUUAUUUUGCUUAUAUUGUGUUUGAAUUUGUUGUGAUUGAAAAGAUUUUAAAAACCUAAUUCACCCUCCCCCCUUUUGGGUUUUUUUUUCUUAAUUAAGCAUAACCUUUGUUUUCUAAUUUUCUUUUUAGGAAAAUCCAUGCGUGGUAUGUCCAAACUCUCCAAGUGGCAGUCUGCCUUCUUCUAAAAAAUUUGUUUCUAUUUCUUUAUUCGACUACCUUCCAUGUCUUCCUAAUGAGUGCUUGUGCUCAAUGGUCAAUCCCUGGUGGUUGCCUCCUUUUCCCAUAUAUACGUGUUGCAAAAUCAACAUCCCACUAUAUGUGGGUUGCCUCUAUGGCAAGUUCACAUUUCCCACAUGAAACCUAUGAGUUUCCACCAAAAAUUGCCAUGAAAAAGUCUUUAUAUGCAUCUCAUGCAAUAAAAAGUCAAGCCAAUACUCAUCUUAUCUCGAAAAAUAAGUAACCAAAAUCAAGAUCAUGCCUAAGUGAACUAUGCCAAAAGAAGUGUCCAAGUGACCUAUUAUGAAAAAAGUGCCUAAGUGACCUAAGGUGAAUGUGUGUAAGCUGGAAGGUGUCUAGGAUGUUUAGGACAAUGCCUAAGCCUAAAAUAGGGUUGCCAAGGGUCACAAUGGGGUUAGAUAAAUCUCUCAAUCAGAGUCUCCAAGGUGGCUCAUAAAAGAUAAGCUACACGAGUAAUGAUGGGCCACCAGGGAAUUAUUGUAAAGCACCAAACGAACACAUAAUAGGACAUGUGUUAGAAUGAAAAAAUGGAGGGUUUACAAGUGGUCUCAUGGAUGAGCUUGAUAAUUUAAAUGACUCACAUAAUGAACGUAUGUGAUGUUUCUCUCCAAUAACAAGCAAAACAUCACUAGCAAUAUGAUGAAUGUCUCCUAAAUCACUUGAAGUAGUCCUAGCAAAUCAAUUAGAAAAAUCACACAUAUUGCUCUAAUGUAAUAUUAUAUACAUCUGUCAAUGAAUGGGAGAACUAAUGACACAACCAUCAUGUUGAUAUCUCGAACCCUCUAAUCUCAUAUGUAGGUGGGAUCACACUUAGAAACUCAUAACACAGUAAUGACCAAUCUAAGUCAAAAUGUGUUGGUGAUCGGAGGCCCAUGAAUAUGAAGUUCUAGGAUGAUAAUGACAUCUUAUAAAGUAAUGAUCAUCUCCUUAAUAGAUAGGUGAAAUGUGUGUGUCUUAGGACACCAUCUCUCAACAAGACUUGUGAUCAAUCCCCAGUCUAGUGUAACAUGCCUAUUAUGACAUCCAUCGUAAAAUCUAGACUAGAUAAUAUAAGGACAAAUGUGAGGGUUCAUCUCCCUUUCCCACAUAAAUUUAAAAAAUUAUUAUUGACAAGUUAAGACCAAACUAAGUUGCAAAAUAUAAAUAAGUCCAUUAGAUAACAAAUUUAUGUUUUCUCAUUUUCUCAUUUUUAAAGAGAUAUUAUGUGCUUCCAUGUACAUACAUGCUAAAGUCAAUUAUACGAGACUUAUAUCCAUCUUGUAGAACCAAAUCGAACCUAUCUAAUAGAUCCAGAUUAGAAGUAUGUCCUCUAUACUCCAUAUUUAUAACACAUUUAUAAAGAUAAAUGCUAAAAAAAUGUUAAAGAUAUAAAUUUAAUGAACCAUACUUUAUGAUUUUAAUUCUCAAUUAUUGUUCAUAUUUAUAAGAGAAAAGUUAAAAAAAUUGAUAGAGUUUUCCCUCUAUCAUGGACAUUAUCCCAAAUAAAAAUAAAUUGAUUAUGCAAAUUACAUUAAUAUUUGUAACCAAAUGAUCAAUAACUAUCUUGUAUCAAUUUAGUAAAUAAAUUUAAGUAUAUCUUUUCAUUUAUGACUAACAAAUAACUCAUACUUGUCCAAUAAAAGCCACACCUAAUUUCUAAAAUUUUGUCUUCACCUCAAGUGAGUGUUACAUUGAGAAAGAAAAAAUAUGAAAGAAAAAAUGAACACCUUUUUCUUUUAAUAAAAAAAGGCCAUAACGAAACAUUAAAUCUCACUGUUACACCUAUCUUCAAUGGAAACAUGAGGAUGUGAAUGGUGGCGGUGAUAUUCUUUGCUUGAAGCUCAUAAACAAAUAUUCCUUACUAAGCCUAUGCCAUUUAGUAUUUCAAUAGUGGACCCCCCCCCCCCCCCCCCCCCCCUCCUUGCAUUUCAGAUUUAGCAAACUUAGAACCAAAUAACAAAGUGCAUUUGAACCCAUAAAGAAGUAAUGAGACUCUCCUAUAUUGGCAAUAGAAGAAAUUUUUGGAGGUAUAGGAGAUUCACGGAUGAAGAAGUUGGGCCCCAAUUGAGAUAAGACCCAAGAAAAGAUGGGGUAGAGAGGGAUGGUUGGAAAUUGUAAAGUAAGAUUUUCAAAAUGUAGUUGAUGACUAAGAUUUUGACAAUUUAAAAAAGGUUUAAAAAUGUAGUUAGCAAUCGGGGUUUUGUAACAUUUAAAAAAUAAAAUAAAAUCUCAGGCCACAUGGUAGCCCAUGUGAUUCAGAAGCUUGAGAAUUAUUUUAUAAGAAGACUUAAUUUGUGAUUUUUUUAUAACUAUAUUAUUUUUUUUCUUAACACACGAAAAAAAUUAUGAAAUAAGACAAUUUUCCUAAGAAAGCAUGUAAGUGACUCUUGGUUAUUUUAUUUAACUUCUUCUAGUUUGGAGAGGAUUAAUACCUUUGCUUUUACUCACUUGCUUGGAUAUGUACACGUUGUUCAUGUCACUUUUCAUUUAAUUUUCUGAUUAAGGGAAUUGGAACCGUACGUAACUGUCUUUAUUCCCUCUGAAACUUGGACUUGGAGUUGGACUUUCAAUCUCAUCAGUCGUGUUUCCAUAAAAAAGAAGAUGGAUUAACCAAUUUUCCUAUGCCUACUAAUCAUACACAAAACUCCACUUCCAAAUAAAAAGGAAUGGGAUAUCACUUGUUAAUAGUGGCUAAAGACUAUUAAUAACCAUGCAAAGAAAUGUCACAUUUUUUGUUCUACGCAAAUUUUAUUCAUCAACUACUAGAACCAUUUCAUACAAUAGUAGCUUUUCGAUCCUUUGAUAAAUGGACACUUGAUGUGAUAACACCAACUACACCUAUAUAUUCAAGCAAUCAUGCGUAUAUAAUAGUGGAUAUGGAUUACUUCUCUAAAUGGGCAAAAGUUUUGUCAUUCAAGGAAAGUGAACGAGGAAACACAAGUUUACUUUCAUCGGAACUAAUAUUAUAUAUUGAUAUGACUUCCCAUUAUUACUUACGAUGGAAUAUGCUUCCAUAAAAUGGCCUAGAUGAACAAACUAUCCAAGAAGUUUGGGAUCAAAUAAUAUAUAUAUAGUUCAUGUGUGAUUCUUUGGUUGACAACCUUGUUAAGGGGUGAGUGAAGCACUUUGGGCAUACCACAUACUACAUGCUAGACUUCCACCCAAGCUACCCUAUAUUCCUUAUGAACAAAGUAGAAGUUGUCAUCUCUCUUGAAUACCAAAUCCUUUCACCUAAUAAUGCUAUCUAAAAAGGUCUUAAAAAGGAUAAAAAUGCGCAUAUUUGAAUUUUUGAAUUAGGAGUGCUACUUAAAAAGAAGCUAGAUAUACAAUAAUAGAAUGUUAUCAAGCAUAUCUCUUCAAAGUUUUUGACCAAAAAAUAUAUGAUUUCUCAUUUUAGGUAGGAGACUUAGUACUCACUAUUCAAAAACCAAUUAUCAUUACUCAUAAAAACUAAUAGAAAGUUUGGGCCAAAGUAGGAUGGACCUUAUAUUAUGCAACAAUUAUGCCUAUAAAAUUGUUGCAAAAGAGGUUUUAGAAUCAAAUCAAUGAAUGAAAAAUUAUUAAAGCAUUACUAUGCUUGAAGGCUAGUCAUUUUCCCUUAAAGUGCAAUAUUAAGUUGCAUAGUACUAUGUGGAUCCGCAUUUUUCACAUGCGUUCCCACUCAUUGUCGAGACUCACUUUUUAGAAGUGAAAAAUUAGUUUUAUUAAAGUCGAAGUUGCCACUGGGGAUUUGAACCCUAACAAAAGGUUCAAUUUAAGGAUAAAAAUAUCGAUAAUCACAUAUAUAUAUAUUGGUACUUUGAUUUUAUGAAUAUAUUGAAGAAAUAUGGACAAAUAUUUUGACACAAAAUAUGUACAAAAUAAAAAUUAUAUAAAAAGUAAAAAUAAAUAUUUUAAAAUUAUUUUUUUAAAUAUAUAUAUAUAUAAUUUGACAUAUUUGAUAAUAAUAUAUAAGGGUCUCCAAAAAGCCCGUGGCCCGCUUUAGGCCCGGUCCGACCCGACAGGCUAAAGCCCGGCCCAAGCCCGCCGGGCCCAAGCUCGGCCCGAGCCCGUUUAUGGGUGGGCCGGGCCGCGAGCCCGUAGGCCUGCUCCUUUAAAAAAAAACUACAAAAAUAAAAAGUAUUAAAAAAAAUAUUCAUUUCAAAAUUUUAUUCAUUGAAUGUAUAAUUACAUUUGAAAAUGUGGGAAAAGUUUACAUCACUACAAAAUAAAUACAUCCCAACUAGGUUGGCACCUAUUUAUUUGUCAAUCAUCUGUAUUUUUCAACCACAAAAAAUAAAAAUAAAAAUAUAAUAUACAUUUAGUCAUUAUUUUCUGGCGGUGAUGGCGAACUAUCAUGCAUCCAUGAAGAUCUUGAUAAUUUUAAAGAUUCCAUAUCGGUAAGCAUCUUUGUUUCUCGAAUGGAAUCAUACAUCCUUUUAUCUGCUAUUUCCCAAUCUUUCACACAUAUCCCUGCUUUAAUAACAUCUGACGCUAAGUUGCAUCGUUUUUUACUAACUACUCUUCCACCUGCACUAAAAGCAGCUUCUGAUGCAACUGUACUCACAGGAACUGUUAGUACAUCACGAGCAAUUAUAGAAAGCACAGGAUAUUUGUGUUGAUGUGAUUUCCACCAUAUUAAAAUAUUAAAAUCUUCUUGAUCUUCAAAUGAAAUUAUAUCAGUAUUAAGAUAUUUAUCUAAAUCAGAUGUAUUAUUUGGAGAAUUAUUUGUUGUCUUUUUUCGACUUUUCAACAUUUCUAGAGCUCCUUUAUAAAAAGAUGAGGAGUUUGUAGAUGUAGGUGGUAAUUUAAUAGUAUUAAUAUCAUUACCAUAUUUUUCUUUAUAAUAGUUAUAUAAAUUAUAUAAUAAUGAAUUUAUUUCAUUUUUAAUUUCUUCAAUUUUUAUUUGGUCAUUAAAAUAAAUAAUUGUUAACCAUUCAUCCAAAGCUUCAAAUUUCAAUCUAGGGUCCACAAUUAAAGCAAUAUAAAAAAUUAAAGGUAUUUCUCCCCAAUAUUUUCUAAAUUUUUAUAUCAUUACAAAUAUUGUAUCAUUAAAUAUUUCAAAACUUAAAUAUUUUUGAAGUACAAUAAAAAUAUUAGUUAUUUGCGUAAUAACUCGAUUUGAAGUUGGAUAAUAUACACCACAAAAAAUGUUUGUUGAAGUAUCAAAAAUUUCAAAAAGAUCUCUUAAAACAUCCGCAAUAUGCCAAUCAUAAUCAUUUAAUGCAUAAAUAUCUGCUUCAUAAUCAUUGUUAAUUAAUUGUAUUUCAUAUAAUUCGACUACUUUUCUAUAUUUUGUAAUAUUUUCUAAAAGUUUAUAUGUGGAAUUCCAUCUAAUAGCCAUAUCCAAAUUUAUAUUUUUUCUUUUCAUAUUUAACAUUUUGCAACAAUCAAAAAAUAAUUCAUGUUUUGCUUGAAAACUAUUAAUACUAUAUGCAAUGCCUCUAAUUUUUUUCCAAUGUACUAUCAACAUUUUUUAAUCCAUCCUUUACAAUUAAAUUUAAAAUAUGUGCACAACAACGCACAUGAAAUAUUUUAGCAUGAUCUUCUUUUACUUGCCAAUAUCGUUUUAGUCUAUGUAUUGCUGCAUCAUUAUUAGCAGCAUUAUCUAAUGUUAUUGUCAAUAUUUUAUCACGAAUGCCUAAAUCUAUAAUUUCAUCAUUUAUUAAAGAUGCUAUAUUUUUACCACUAUGUGGAGUAUUUAUUAAUUUAAAUAAAAUUAUUCUUUUAUUUAAUUUCCAUUCAUUAUCAAUGUAGUGAACAAUUAUAUAUAAAAAACCAGUAUGAGUUAAAGAUGUCCAAAUGUCAGAUGUUAAACGAAUAUUUCCUUCAAAAUUUGCAAAAUUUUUUUUUAAAAUUUCUUUUUGUGUAUAAAUUUUUUUCAUAAUAUCUCUUUUAACUGUAUUUCCAGAUCAACCUUUAAAUUGAGGAUUAAUACCUCGUUGAAUUGUUCUUGCAAAAUCAUGAGUUUCCAUCAUGUUGAAAGGUUGUUCUGCUCUUAUUAUAUAAUCAAUCAUUUCUUCACAACAGUUAGAUUCAUCAUAAGAAAAUGUUUUUAAAUUUCCACUUUCAUUUUUACUUAAUUGCAUAUAAUUUCUAAUAUCUACAUUAUUUUUAGUUUUACAAUUUUCAUGAUGUCUUUUUAAAUGACUUGUAUCUGCAUUUGAGCCACCAGUAAGAAAUUUAUUACAAAUUUUACAUUUUGCUUUUAUUUUUUUUUUAUUAUUUUCUAAAAUUAUUUCUAUUCUAUCAAAAAAAUUCCAUAUAUUUAAAGUAAAUUUUUUGUUUGAUGAUAUUUCAUCACAUGGACUAGACGAAGAAGCACUUGUCAUAUUAUAAUUAUUGAUAAAAUAUUAUGCCAAAAAUAAUAAAGUAAUAAAUAUAAAAAAAAAUGUAACAAAAAAAAUAAAGUAGUAGGGGUGAAGUAUGUUACUCAAUUAGAGAACCUAUGCAGAAAUUCCUAGCAAAUUUGAACUCUUGGAGCCACCAAUGCUUGUUUUGCACCAUCAACAAUAUUGUAUAAUUUGAGGGAAAAAUAAAAGAAUUUAAAAUAUUGUAGAAUGUGAGAGAAAUAGAGAGAAUUUGAUGAAAAAAUGAAAAGGAAGAAAAUGUAUUUAUAGGAAGGUUAAAAAUAAUAAUAAUAAUAAUAAUAAUAAUAAUAAUAAUAAUAAUAAUAAUAAUAAUAAUAAUAAUUGGCCAUGUGACCGUUGGAGGCUUAGCUCCAACGGUCACAUGGGCUGGAGCUAGGCUCCAACAGUCACAUGACCGUUGGAGCCUUUAAUUUUUUUUUUUAAAAUAAUAUACUUUAUUUUUAUAUAUAUAUAACUAACUCAAUUAAUAAACAUAAAAAGAAUAUAGUUCAGUUGGUUAGAACCUUGAAGUUUAAACAUGAGGGGAGGGGUUUGAAUCCCUCCCUCUCCCUUAGGGGCUUUUUUAAAAGCCAUUUUGGCUUAUUUCAAAAAGCCUGUCGGCCCGACCCGCCCUGCAGCCCGCGGGCCUAGCAUUUUAGCAUGGCCUGGUCUGUUGACUAGUCAAAUGGCUCAUAGGCUCGGCCCGAACUGGGCCGCGGGCCUCUUAUUUACGGACCGGCCCGACCCGGCCCGCCCGUUGGAGACCCUUGAUAAUAUCUUCUAUAUUAAGUUACAUUAUAGUUUAUUUUACAAUAUUAUUAUGAUAAUAUGUCUAAUUUUAAAAUAUAUUUAAUAUUAAAAUUAUGAUCUAUUUUAAUUUAAAUGUAUUCAAUGAUAUCAAAUAAAUAAUAAUAUAUGUAUAAUUCUUUUAUUAUUUAUAUUUAUUAUUUUUAAUAAAUAUAUAGAUUAUAUAAAAAAGACCGGAUAUAUCUUUUCAAAUUUUGUAUCGCUCUCCAAGGAUAUUAGAUGUAUGGGAAUUUGUAUUGCUAUCUACGGAUACGUUGAUAUAUGGGUGAUUUAUCAGGAUAAUUAGAAAUUCUAAUUAUGUAAGCAGGUACGGAGUUCUGUGUCGGUGCGAUCUUGUCGACAACAGCUCCAAAUUGUGCAUCUUGCUCAUAGAGAGUAGCGGAAUGCACCAAUCGUAGGCUCAGAGUACCACUGAGUCGUCUGGCAGAGACCCAACUGAAGGUGCCUGUGUUGUUCCUGAUCUGAUCAGGCUUCAAACUACAAGGUGGAAUACUGGUUCCCCUAUAUCAGAAGCUGGAGAUACCCACCCCAUAUGCUCGUCUGGAUGUGCUCCUACCCUUUGAAGCCUUCUUCCGAGUCAAGUCCGAAUUGAUAAGGCUAGUGAGUUCCCAACCAACUGUACUCAGCAUGCUGCCAGGUGGAGACCCUCCAUAUUUGAUGGCUUCCUAAUAUUAAAAUGCUGACCACUGGUCUUCAUGUUCCACAGGCUUAAUUGUGUCCUUUGCUGAAAGAAUGGAUAGUGAUCCAUUUUAACACAUGAUUCACGCCGUCUUUGCCAUUCUUCAUGGUCUAGCCCUUUUAUAUAUAUGCUUCCUGAACUGUUGCUAUUAAUAAAAUGUGGUAUCUAUCCCGUACACCUUCCUGAUGGCCAGCGAAUGCAGAAGCUACAGAAACGGUUCCAUCUUUUGCUUCCGCCACUUUGGCAUCCUCCAUGAUGAGAUCGAAGGUGAAUAAUCAUAUUCUGGGGAUUUAUGUCCUGGAUAUUCUCAGUAAUGCCCAAUUUCCUGGUGCCGGCCUCAUUUCCAUGGGAACUGAUGGAUAACUUAAGGCUUCUACCAUCUGCGUGGUUCGCUUCUAACACAGGAAACUUCACGGCUAAAAGCAAGAUACCAAGAACAUCAAGGCUGUGACAAAAAUUAGUAUUUUUAACUUGUAGGAAUUUGAAAGGCAACCAACCAUCUAGCUCUGUUCUUAAAGCUCCCAUAGGAGGAUCAGAGGCUGGAUUGCUCAAGAUGAACUCAUCCAUUGUUGCACUUAAAAAGAAUUGGCAUGAAUUGUGGCCGCUCUAAUAGGUUCCCUAAACCAUCAUCCAAGUGGGCUUGCGGAAGGUAGCGAGUUUAAAACACCUAGGGCGAUGAACAGUGGACUGUGAUGCUCACAAAAGAGAAAAGGAAGAAUUCAAUAAUUCCUAAGAAUCCAUUUGCCUGUCAUCCAAAUUUUUAUAUUCUCUUCAGUCUGACGCGUUAUGCCAUAUAUUAAAAAUAGCGGCUUCUUCCAAGCCGAGACAGACUGUGCAAAGUUCGCAAGGCCAAUCAUCACCAUAAUCUGAAGUUGGCCUCCUCAAUCGCAGCUUGUAUCCGAAUGCUCACUUCACGGGAUGGAUUGUAAUGAAAACUAAUCUCAGUCCCAGCUAUGGCAGCAUCCUCACUUGACAGCAUUUUCUGCAUAUUCUAGAACAAAGCAAUAAACCCUCAAAGGCUCCUUCGGAUCAGAGUUAGAAGACUGUCCCUCAGGAACGUGAACACUAUGGUGGUUCUGAUAAGCAGUGAUAUUGCAUUAGAGCCUUUUGGAACAAGAGGAUCUUUUCAGGUGGAAACUGUAAACUGCUUCAUGUUGGGCUGCAACCUUUUCUUCAAGCAAUACUUUCUUUCUGUAUCACGACUUAUGUUGCUUCCGGAGCCAUCCCGUGUGGACUGCCCUUCAGUGAAAGAAUAUGUGUGUUGACAUGUUGGAUUGUAAUCUUUGUUCCACUCUAAUGGCUUUUGGUCCUCCUCUUUCUCUUUAUGACAGAGAACCAUUUAGUGAUCCAUCUCUAUAUUGUAGCAUUGCUGGUGCUUUGCAAUACUACACUCUCACCAAGCAUAACAUCUAUUUUUCCGUGACCAAAGUAUGUCGGUUUAUGCAUGCGCAAACUCUUAUUCAUUGGCAAGUUGUCAAGCGUAUCUCAUGAUUUCCCAAAGCCACAAGUUCUUAUGGUCUUUCUGUUCAAGCUUACAAUGAUCUAUCUUUUCUUGGUUAUACUGAUGUCGAUUGGGCUAGUUGCCCUGAUAACAAGCACAAUACUAGUGGGUACAACACUUUUCCUGGUCCUAAUCUCAUUUCAUGGGCAUUUUCAAAGCAGAAGGUUGUGUCUCACUCCAAUAACGAAUCUGAAUAUAGGGGACUCACUAAUUAAUGUUGUUGCCAAGGUCACUUGGAUUGAAUCUGUCUUACGUGAGUUGCGUGUUUCUCUACCCCAACCACCAAUUUUGUUGUGUGACAACAUUAGUGCUACACACUUGGACAAACCAUGUUGAAAUACACUAUCAUUUUAUCCAUGAAAGGCUUAUGCAUCACACACUCAAAAUUCAAUACACCUCUUCUAUAGACCAACUAGUCAAUGCUAUGACCAAAGCUCUUCCUUCAUCUCACUUGUACAAUCUUCAGUGCAAGCUGAUUGUUCUUCCCAAACCACUCAACUUGAGGGGAGAUGUUAAGCCAAUUUAAUAAAUUGAUUUCUUUUGGUUAAUUUGUUAGAAUCAUUUUUAUUAGAGGUUUGUUUGUACAAUUACAUCCAUUUAUCAGGAGAGUACACGUGUACAACUCCUCUUUUAAUCUCACCAUUGUAUAUAUAUGAUACACGACCUUACUCAGAAUUGCAUAACAUUUCCUCUGCUCAUUCCUUUUCUUCUUUGAAUUUUCCCUUACCUCACUGAUUUUGAUUUAUACCUGGUGUUUUCACCUUUGGUCUCUACCUUUCUAGCCAGUUUUCUAAUUAAUCCGUAUAUGGUAUACCUGUCAACUAAUGAGGAGAAAGAGAAAAGGGGAUUGCUGUUCCACCAGCUACAUAUAAUAAUUAAUUACAAUCAUGGUAAUGGAUCCUGAAAUCCAUCCUUUGUGGAUUUUGUACGGAAUAUUGUUGUUAUGUAUGUGGGCUCACUUAGAUGUAUAUUGCUAGCCUGUCUGGGAAAUGUGAUUGCAGGUCCAGAUUAUGAUGUUGAUAUUAGUGGGAUAAGCAAGAGAUGCAGUUAACACGUAUGUGAUGGACUUGAGUAACUUUUCCAUUUCAGUCCAUUUUUUAAGAUUAUGCUUAGUCUUAUUACAAGGAAAGACCAUAAGAAUCAUGAGUCAUUGGCAAGGUAAUAUCAUUCCCUCUUUACAGGCUUCUUCACCUUUUGGUUUUUUUAAUAUCCAUCAAGAUCUUUUAAUUGGAGGACAAUUACAAGUAUAUAUAUAUGUAUUAAAAGGGGAAAAUAUUAAAACAGGAAAUUUUAGGGAAAAUAUAAUAAUUAUUUCUUCCUUCUUUCCCAUAUAGAACUACACAAAAUAAAACUUUAAUAAUUUUUUCUUAUCUUUUUUAUUAUUAUUUUUUCUUAGAAACAUCCGUGGUCUCACAAGCUUGUAAUCCUAGAUUGUUAGGCUCCUUUAACAGUGCCCCAACAUCGUGGUCCAAUGACAAGCUUCCACGCCUUAAAAUCAGAAAAUGCCAUUAAACUUUAUCAGACAUUACAGUUCAAGACAAAGCUUUCAUUUGCUUAAUGUGAUAAUGAAAUUGUUAAUUUCAUUUCGUGGGCAUCUAAAUUUGGACGAGCAAGACCUCUGAAUUCCCUGUUUUUAUCACCAGCAGAGGAGAUAAAAUCUUAAUGGUGAGAAUCUCCACGUGAAAUUUAUGUGUACUGUCAACAUAUUUUUGUUUAUAUAGUCCAGUAGCUGCAGGAAGUCUAGAUUAUAUAGGUAGCAGUAGCACUAUUUAUAGCACUCGAUAUUCGCUGUAUGAAUACAUUAAACCUUGUUUUCAAUACGCAUCACAAGCAAGUACUAGAUACUACAAGGAGUGACAGUCGCAUCAACAUUUCUUGAUAAUAGCAGUGACUGAUUUAUACACAGAACAGUACUGUACACGUACCAGUCACCAGAGAUAGGAUCUUAUUCCUACAUACGACUCUUAUUGAUCGAAGUCACUCAGUUGGGGUAGCCUGGAGUUGGAGGUUUGUGUGGUGGCUUCUUCUUUGGAGGAGGCUUUAUCUUUGGAGGCAUCAUCUUUGGAGGCAUCUUGUGUGAGUCUUCUUCAGCAUUCUCUACAGGAGGAUGGCCAGGCUUAUGACCCUUAGGUGGUUUGCCAACUGGGAUUGGUGGCUUGUGUCCUGAGAGUGGCUCCUCUUCUUCGGGAGGUUUGCCAACUGACGUUGGUGGCCCGUGUCCUGGGGGUGGCUUGUGUUUUGGGGGUGGUUUCACUCCACCGGGAGGUUUACCAAUUGGUGUUGGUGGUUUGUGCUCAAUCGGUGGCCUCUCAACUGGGGGGCGCUUGGGGUAAUCAGCGAGUGAAGAAGUGGUGAGAACCACCACUCCAAGCAACAACACUAGCAAGUAUGUGGAAGACAUCUUUGAGUUUGGCUCAGAUGGUGUAGAACUAGAAUCCUGGGUGGCCUUUUAUAUUAGUUGGGCCCUAUGCCCGAACGACAAGUGUCAUGGUGACACAUAAAGUGAUGGGGUCGAUUUGGGCCUACCGGAUUUGAAAACUUGGACAAUUCGAGAAGCGUCUCCUGACUCCGGGUUGUAAAGUGAAAGAUUAGGUAUCGACCAUUGAAGUAUGAUCACAACUUUUGGCCUUUGGCUCUCUCUACUGCCGUAUAGCUUUUUUCCUUUGGAUAUUUUUCUUAGCUAGACACAAUUAUUGAGCAGUCUAAUCUCGAAAUGGGAUUAGUAUAGCUUUAAGCAAAUUUAUUAUAGUUAGUGGAGGACUUUUAAGAGUGCAGACGACAUUUAACACAUGCAUGCAGUAGUAUAGGGGACAUAACACUAUUCUUUUUCCAAAGAUUCACAUGAUUUUUAUAUUAUAGUAUUGGCACAUUGUAUGUAGCUGGUUUUGUGGUUAAAAUUCCAUAUGUAGACACUGGCGUUUCUCCAUUUCUCACAAUUGAUGUUUACCUCCACGAUUACUAGAUUAGAUAUACCAAACAAUAACACAUUGUAUAAUCUAUCCGCCCUUCAAAAUCUACUGUAUGAUGAAAUGUUUCAUGUGUGUGUGAAGUGUUAGAAAUGCACUAUAGGCAACAUCAUCUUCUUUUGUCUAGGCUUGGGCCUCAAAUUAUACUCCCAUGCCAUGAUAAAUUUUCAUGUGCAUUCUCUAAAGAAGAGUGUCUUGAAUGUGCCAAAUCAUUUUGAUUGAUUUUAUGAUGUUAAUUGCUCCGCAUAUGGAUGGGUAUGUGCUUUAUUUGCUUAUUCAAUCCACAAUUACCUUGAACUGAAGUCCUAUUGGAGCUCUAUUAUUUUAGCAACGUCCUGUCAAAUAGGCUGCUAACUUGGGGUGGUAUGGACCCAAUGAUCCAUCUUAAUCUUGGGUUGAUUUUGUCUGACUCUAUCUAUCUCAGAGAGAACCAGGAUCACCAGUGCUGGUCUGCUUAAAGAAGACUCAGUACUGGAUUAAUAUUGGUUUGGGUCAAUAGCUUAUAAUGCAUUGAAUGCAGAAUAAACAAGAUCAAUGAAACCCAAAACACACUGCCCACACAACUUCACUCUGGUGUCUGUUAUUCAUCAAUUCUAUUCCCACAUGAACUGGUUCAAGUUUAAGAAAAUGACAACGGAUCCACUGUAUUAACUUGGUUUUGCUUGGUUUUGAGCUAGUUGCCAAACCAGCCAUGAGUUUUACCUCUAAUGUCAAUGAACAAACCCCAAAUGAACAACUGCAACAGCUUAAAGAGAAGGAAUGGAGAUGAAAAUCCCUGUUUCUUCUCAUUCUGGGGACAAAUUAGAACAUAACUACAAAGGUUCUAUUAAUUGACUUACUCUACCAUGAAUUAUGGUUCUUUGGUUUUCCAAAUUUAAAUUGUACAUGAGAUUAUUUUUUUCCUUUAUAUAUAAACAUAUUAAGGUUUUCUUAUUUCGUGGGCAAAUGCGCUAAGGAUGAAAGUCAUUUCAUUUGGCUGCAACAGCAUCUUAUAAUCAACAUGCAUAAGCAGCAGUUUUAAUUGAUCGAUUGAACACCGACUCACAAGAAUAGAUAGAAUGGUACAAGACAGCUCUUAUUAAUUUAUACUCGUUACUCAUUUUAUGUAGCCCCAUUAAGAUGGCUGGCUGGACCACCGAGGUCUGGGGGUGGUGUUGCUUGUGUGAUGCAGCGGGCCGGGCAGACACUUCUCUAGUUGCUUCUAUUUGGAGUUAGAGGAUCAGUCUCUGCCAACCUUGAGGACUCUCUACCUCAGAGGGUCCAGGUGGUGGACUCUGGUGUCGGUAGCUUUGAACUCUCAGUAGACUAGUGUGUCUUAAUCAGUCACUGCCAGAGGCUGGCGUAGGCAGUGACGAUAAGGUGAGACAAAUUACCGAAUAGUCAAUAUCGACUGCACUUGACCAUUAUAGAUUUGUUCUGACAAAAGUGAGAAAAGGGAGAAAAUCGGAUGUUGACCUUUAUAGAAAAAGAUAAGAUUUACUGCAACACAGAGCACUGAUUUGUUACUUGGAAACCAAGUUAUGCUAUUAGCUAGCCUCCAUUAGCAGCAGGGUACCUUGCUGCCUGAUCCUAAUCUGAGUUCCCAAGGUUUCAAUCUUCGUUUGUUAACGCUUCAGGAUUUGGAUAUUUCAGCUUCGUUUCUCCAUUUAGCCAACGCUGCCUGGUUUGGAUUUCAAUCCUCAUCUGGAACAUUCUUUUUUCGGUCUGAUUCAGGAAGUGUUUGGUGAUAGUUGAUUAAAAUUAAACAGUACUAUCAUACAAAUAAAGCUGAUCUAAUUUUGGUGGGCAAUAUACCAACUCAUUUAUUCUUGAAAACACCAUGGGGAAUUGGAGGUCCAUCCGAAGUACUAUUUGAUGGGACUCACAAAAAGAACAGGUGCACAUUUAUGAGAUCCGUGGAAGAGAUAACUAUGACAGCUAUGCAUGUACAACAGAUUUAUGUCGAGUUCACCUCGUAGAUAUUUUGUUUUCAGUGUCGGUGGACCCCAAAAUGGAAAUCGGAAAUUAAGGUUAUAUUUAUUUUUUUAUUUAAUUUUAAAUAGAAUUUUAAUUUUUAAUAAUAUUAAGUAUUAAAUUAUUUUUUUAAGGGUAUUUUAUUUUUAUUAAGUAUUAAAAAGUAAAAAAAAUUAAUAUGUUGCUUUUUUAUUUUAAAAAAAUUAUAUAUUUUAAUUUUUUCUAUUUACUAAAAAGUUUAUAAUAAAUUAUAAAAAAAUAAAAAAAUAAAAAACUUAAAUUCUGAAAAUAAAUUAUUUUUAAUAAAAAAAUCCAAAAAAGCAAACACCACCUAAAUUUGAGAUGACUCAAAAUUUUAUAUUUUUUUUCACCUAAAUUAUAUUCAUAAAUUUAAAAUUAAAAAAUUAGGAAGUUGAAUUUUAUUUUGGAUAAUUGGAAACUACAAGAAAUCAAUAAAAAUAUUUGGAAAAAAAAGAAAAAGAAAAACUAUCUAUAUAUUCACCCCCUUCUAAGAAACAUAACUUUAGUUUUUAACUAUUUUUUAAAAUAAUUUUUGAAAAAUGUUAUAUAAUAUUUUAUAAAACAAAAAAUCUGUUUGACAAUUUGAUAUGUCUUUAACUUAUUUUUAAUAUUUAUAUAUAUAUAUUUUAAAAAUAAUUUUAUAUUUAGAACUUUAUCUUUAAUUAUUAUAUAUAUUUAUAUAAUUAUUUUUUUUAAAACAACUCUUAAAAAAUAAGUGAAAGUAAUUGAAAACAACUCAAAGAUAUUUGAUGAAAACACUCUAAUUUGUAUUUUUGAGAAUAAAAAAAUAAAUAAAUAAAUUUCUAGUUAUCAAAUGUAUUUUUUAAUUCUUUUAUUCUAAAAAAUAGAAAAUCGUUUUUGAAAAUAAUUAUUAAACAACAUUCUUAAAAAUUCACUCGUUACAAUCUAGAUUUAAUGCAAGAAUGAUUGAAGGAGUCCUCCAAUAGAACCCAAAGUUAUAAACAUGAACAAGAAGCCCUAGAAACACCAAAGAUCUCAUAUGGUAUAUAUAUGAGCUUGAUUGAGAACUGUUUUAAAUUCAGUUUUUUUUUUUUUUUUUUUUUUUUGUUUUCAAAGUCAAAACAAGUUUACUUUUAAUUUUUACUUCUUUUUUUUAAUUUUAUAAAUAACAGUUUUUUAAUAAUUUAUUUUGAAAACAUGAUUAUUUUUAAAACUUAUAAUGAAAAUAGGAAUUUUUUUUUUAAUAUCAUGGUUAUUUUCCCUUCUUUUAAGGAGGGCUAUUUUAAAAAUAAAUUUACAAAUAUGAAAAAUGAUUCAAACUAAAGCAGUACAAAUAAAAAACAUUUUUAAGAAAUAUUUAAAAAUAGAGAAAAUUAUUUGAGAACAUUUGAAGUCCUUAAAUAGACUUUUGUUUUAGAAAAGGCAAGAUAAUUAUUUUUGAAAAUUGUUUUCAUAAUGAUAUGCAAAAACCUACGUAAAAACCAUAAUUAUAAUCGGCCACAUAUCAAAUCUACUAAAUAUGAAAAGUAAGUACAUAAUUAUAUUUGACUUAGAUGCAAGGAGGAAAAUGUCGCGAUAUUAUCGCCGAAAUAUCGUGUGUCGAAGGGUAUCGACACGAUUUUUCUUGCAGAAAUAUCGGCCAGUCGAUUUUUCGGGAUAAAUCUCGAGAAAUCGGCAAUUUAUCGCGAUAUAUCGGCGAUUUUUCCUCGAUAUAUCUUCUGGUCAACGCGGGUCAACGGAGUCAACACGCUACAGUGAAAGUCAAAUGUGCUACAAUGUCCCCGCUACAAUCACCUCCCCAAACAAAUUGCCAAAUUGCUUCCGAGGGGAUUUGAACCAGCCUUCUUGCCAUUUGGGCUAACUCGCCCUUAUGAUAUAUAUUGCAUUAAACAUAUAUAUACUUAAAGUCCUUAUAUAAAGAAAAUGUUAAAAAAAUAUUUUAAAGAGCAAAUUAAUUAUAAUUAUUUUAUAAUUAAAAGCAAAAUUUUCUUUUAAUUAAUUACCAAAAAUAUAAAAAUUAUAUAAUUUUCUUCAUAAUGUUUUUAAUAUCAUUAAUAAUUAAUUAAAUAUUAAAAAAUUAUAUAUAUAUAUAUAUAUAUAUAUAUAUAUAUUAUAAUUUAUUUUAUAUUGUUUAAUACAAUUGAAUUAAAUGGAUCAUAUUUUAAUAUUAAUAUAUAUUUUAAAAUUAGACAUAUUGUAAUCAAAUAUCAUAAUAUUAUAUGUAAUUUAAUAAUAAAUGUACACUUAUAAAAUUCAUAUUUUUAUCGAUGCAUACAAUAUUAUUAUCAAAUAUGAUAAAUCAUGUUAUACAUAUAUCAAAAUUUUCAAUAAAAUAACUUUAAAAUGUCUAUUAUACUUCUAAUUAUAUUAUUAUGAGGUUUUCUUUACAUUUUCAUGAGUUUUAAACAAUUUUAAGCACCAAUAUUUUUUUCCAAAAUAUCCACCGAUAUAUCUCCGAUAUAUCCAAUAUAUCUCCGAUAUCUCCGAUAUAUCCGUAAAAUCGAAGUACCGAUAUAUCCGUGAUUACCGAUAUUUUCAUCAUUGCUUAGAUGCAACCUUCUUCCAAAUGACAUACUUUAGUCAAUACUUAUAUUUUUUCGUUUCACUUCUUUGAUACAACACCUCAUGGAUUUAUUGUUUAAUUUAUUUGUAAUUAUAAAACUAUUUUUCAUUUUUAAUAAGACUUGAAUUAAUUUAAUAAAUAUUAUAUAAUUUGAAUUUAUAAUUCUUUUUAUAAAAUCAAAGUAUAUUAAAAAAAAAACAAUUUAUCCGAAGAAAGUUUUUUAUUUUUUAUUUUUUAAAACCGAUUUUAAAAAUAACUAGCUAGACACCCUUAUUUUGAUAAAAUACGAAAUAAAAGUGUAAAAACAACAUGGCCAAAUAGGGGCUUAAAUUUUAUUUUUAAAACAUUUUUUUACACUAAAGUGCAUUUUAAAAACACCAUCAAAACCAACUACAAGUUAUGCUUCUUCCCGUAAUAGAAAUAUUUUAGGCCAAAAUAGAACCUCCCCAAAUAAAGACCCUAUACUAAACUCCUUUUCAUUUUAUUAAUACAAAAGUGGGGAAAAAAGGUCUAUGCUCACCUAAAAAACAUGAAUAUUGUGAAUUCACCAUUUCUAUAAGGAAGUUGAAAACUUCAAAAUUUUAUCAACAAAUUCUCUAAAAUCCUCAAAAUAUAUAGGGCCUGUUUCACAAAGUUUUUUAAAAUUUGUUUUUAUAAAUUGCUUUUAAAAUAUAGAAUAAAUAACAGUUUUUUAGAUUUUUUGAAAAAUAAGAGUGUUUGGUAAGAUGUUUUUUUUUUUUUUUUUUUUUUUAAGAAUUAAAUAAAAAAUAAAAAAAUUGUUUAGAUAAAAGAAUUUGUAUUGUUUUUAAAAACAAUGUCUUACUUUUAUGUUAUAAAAAUUUUAUUAAUUUAAUUUAUAAUAAUAUGAAAUGAAAUUCAAGUUAAGUCUUAUUAAAAAAUACAAAUUAAAUCUAUAAUUAUGCAUGAGUUAAAGAUAAAUAUAUAUUUUUUAAAACUAUAAAAUAAAUUUUCUAUUAUAGUGAAACAAAAAUUACUAUAAAAUAAAAAUAAUUUUAAUAUUCAUUUUUAAUACAAGUCAAAUAAGUACUUUAAUUAAUUUUUUUUAUCAUGAUUUCUUAUGUUUUUUUUUUUUUCUAGAAAUUAUUUUAAGUAAUAUAACUAAUUUUUUUUUUAAUGUUUUAUAAAAAUAAGGAUAUUUGGCAAGUUGUUUUUAUAAAAGGAUUUUAAAAAUAAAUGGAUUUUUUUUUUUUUUAAAAAAAGAACAAAAUGAUUUGUUUGAAUAAAUUGUUUUGAUUUUGUAAAAACAUUUUAAAUUCAAUUUAUAUAAUAUUAAUUAAUUAAAUUAAAUUGAAGUUUUAUUGAAAAUAAAAAUAAUUUUGUAAUUAAAAUUAGAUUAAAAAAUAUAUAGGUUUUAAUAAAUCGUAAAUAGUAAUAUUAUAAUAAAAUUAUAAAUUAUAUUUUUAACAUAAAAUAUACUAUUUAUUACAUAUUAAAAAAAAUAUUUUAUUAUAUUAAUAAUUUUAUGGUAUUAAUGAGUUUAUUAUUUAAGUUUUAAAUUAUUUUUAAAAAUUAAUAAAUUUGUUAACAAAUGCAAUGUACUAAAUGUGGUUUAAUUUGGAGUUAAUUUGUUUAGGGAAAAAAAUAAAAAAUAAAAAUCUUAUGUAAAAGAGAAAUAAUAGAGUGUGUGUGUUUUUUUUUAUUAUUUUUAAAAAUCAGUAAAAAGAACUUUUACUUAUUGCCUAAAAAUUAUUCUCUAUUUUAUUUUAUUUUUUAAAUCUAGAAAUAGAUAACAAUAAUAAAAAAAAUUAAAAAAGAAAAAUGUUUUUUAAAACUCAGACUUAUAAUUGCUUUUGUUUCUCAUUCGCACCCCUGGAUUCCUGGAUUCUAAACACAAAAUUAAGUUGAAUCGUCCAUCUAUCUUGUAAGCCAAGAAUUCACAUAGAAGAAAUAAUCGGAAUUUGAUUUGAUAUCAGAUUUAGAGUGGCUCACUACUCAUGCAUUGUCCCACAAUAGUAAUGCUUUGGGCCGAGAUAAACCCAUUUGUGGGCCCAAAUAAAACCCCUGGUUUGAAAACAUCGAUUUUACAGUGGCCCAAAAGAUUAUCUAUGAGGGGAAGAUAACUUGGAAGUCAAGCAAACACAUUUAUCGCUAACUUUUCUCUAAUUAUAAAAUUAUAACUUGGUCUUCUACACGUCUCACUUAAGAGGCGGAGCCACUUGGCACUACCUUUCCAUAUUGUAAAAGGAGAAGAAGCAGAAGGAGAAGAUUCUUAUGCCAUUCCACACACCAUGGCUAGUACUGCUAUGCUGCUUGGCCCGCCGGCUCUCCGCCAUCCUAAUUCUCCCGCCGGCACUGUCUUUGAAGAUGGGGUCAUUCUAACGGAUUCCCUGAUCGUCCGCACCAGUAAUCUGGAGCUUUCUGAAAAACCGCCACUGGAAUCCCUGGCGUAGUGCUCUGUCAGUGGGGAUAUUGCUAUGGAUUGUUUGGAUUCCCAAGCCCACAAUCUUCAUCUUCCCGGGAAACCGCCGAUGGGCUUAACGGAAAACAAGUCUCCGACCUUUUUGUCUUCCGGGAACCCGUGCUUGGACUUCUUCUUCCAUGUGGUUCCCGAUACGUCGUCUGAUGAUCUGAUCCGACGGUUUGAGUUGGCUUGGGAAUUCAAUCCGCUGACGACGUUAAAACUGAUAUGCAACUUGAGAGAGGUGAGAGGCACCGGAAAAUCUGACAAAGAGGGUUUCUACACGGCGGUUCUCUGGCUCCACGACCACCAUCCCAAAACCCUAGCCUGCAAUGCUAGGGUGUUGGCCAGCUUCGGUUAUUUCAAGGAUUUUCUCGAGAUUCUCUACCGGCUUCUGGAGGGCCCUAAAAUUCGAAGAAUCGAAAAGAAAGACUGGCUGGAUCGAAAAGGAAGGAAGAAAAAUUCCCGGAAAAGGAACUCAAUAUUCAAGCGAGAAAAUAGGCCUGGAGUUGAAUUUCCUGUAGAAGAGAAGGAUGUGGAGUAUAUGGUGGAAGAAUUUGUGGAUAAAGAAAAGGCUAGGGUACUGAGAAAGGAGAGAGAACUUGCUCUUGCCAAAAGAGCCCUGCACAAGUAUUCUACUGAUUCUAAUUAUCAGUUCUUACAUGAUCAGAUUUCAGAUUUAUUUGCUGAACUUCUGAAAUCUGAUAUUCAGUAUUUAAACUCCGGUGAGCUUUACAAGAUUAGUCUCGCAUCCAAAUGGUGUCCCACAAUUGAUUCUUCUUAUGAUAAAUCCACCUUGAUAUGUGAAAAUAUUGCUCGAAAGGUUUAUUCUCGCGAGGAAUAUAUAUCCAGAAUACCAAGGAAUUGAGGAGGCUCACUAUGUUAAUAGAGUCAGGGAUAGGUUGAGAAAACAAGUACUUGUUCCAUUACGUAAGGCCCUGGAGUUGCCAGAGGUUUUCAUGUGUUCGAACCAGUGGGGAUCACUUCCCUACAACCGUGUGGCUUCAGUGGCCAUGAAAUCAUACAAGAGCCUCUUCUCAAAACAUGAUACAGAGCGGUUUGGUGUGUAUCUUGAGAAAGUGCAAACUGGGAAGGCUAAGAUUGCAGCUGGUGCAUUACUUCCCCAUGAGAUUAUAGCUUCAUUGAAUGAGGAGGAUGGCGAGAAAGUUGCAGAGCUUCAGUGGGCGAGAAUGGUGGAAGAUUUAUCAAAGAAUGGGAGGCUCACAAAUUGCAGUGCGGUAUGUGACGUAUCAGGAAGUAUGAGUGGAACUCCAAUGAAGGUGUGUGUGGCUCUGGGGCUGUUAGUUUCAGAGCUCAGUGAAGAUCCAUGGAAAGGUAAUGUAAUUACUUUCAGUGCAAGUCCUGAGCUUCACAAGAUCCAAGGAGACAGCCUUGUAUCCAAGACUGAAUUUGUGAGGAUGAUGGAAUGGGGUGCGAACACUGAUUUUCAGAAAGUUUUUGACAGAAUCUUACAAGUAGCAGUGGAGGGAAAUCUGAGUGAAGAUCAAAUGAUAAAGAGGGUUUUCGUUUUCACUGAUAUGGAGUUUGAUGAAGCUUGUGGGAGGUAUAACUAUUGUGAAUAUGACUAUGAUAUGGAGGAAAUUGAUGAGAGUCAGAAGGCAUCUCAGAAGUGGGAGACAGAUUAUGAAGUGAUACAGCGGAAAUUCCAGGACAAAGGAUAUGGAAAAGUUCCGGAGAUAGUGUUUUGGAACCUUAGAAACUCAUCAGAGACUCCAGUGAUGGCCACAGAGAACGGGGUGGCCUUAGUAAGCGGGUUUUCGAAGAAUCUGUUAGACCUUGUUUUUGGAAGGAGGUGGAAUUCUGACCCCUCAGGAUGUGAUGGAAUUAGCCAUCUCUGGUGAAGAUUACAAGAAACUUGUUCUAUUUGAUUAAGAUAUCAAGAGAUUUAUCAAUAAUAAUAUGUUUUUUUUUUUCUAUGUGAAAUACAUGUAAUAUUAACUAUGGAGUUAUCAAAGUUCUGGAAAUUUAAUUAUUUCUUCUUUUCAAGUUUUGUUUGUCUUUGUUAGGAAUUCCCCUUGGGCGGACCCAGCUGGGGACUUGGAUUGAGGAAGUAAGGAGGCGAAAUUGUGUUCUUCUAUGGACAGAGAAAAAAGAUAAAAAUAAAAAAUAAAAAAGGAGGUUAUUUGCAUUUGGAUGUCAUGUGGUUUCAGGGUACAACUACAAGUUCGAAAUUGUACAUAAUGUGAAAAUUCCUGUGUGGAGAACAGCAUAAAUAUGUAUCUCAGUGUGUUUUGUUUGAGCUAAUUGGCAAAUUCGCUUUAAACAUGGUCACAUGGAUGCAUAUUUAUUUGUGAAAUGAUAGUAGUCGAUUACUUGGUCAGUAAGGUUUGUAUCUCUAACUCCAACAUCUUAUUGUAGUCUUUUAAAAUGUCAAAAGUUUAAUGCUAGCUUGAGAAAUUUUGGAAUGGAGACAUUCUAAACAAAGUUAAUAAUCCAUGAGACUUGGUAAAACCGAUCAGAUGAUGCUUACGUACAUGAAUGCCUUCUUUAAGCCGUAUCCUAUUUUCAUUGAAUGAGACGUGCCAUCUAGUUUUGUUCUUGUCUUGAUUGGAUCAUGAUCCCGGGAAUUGAUUACUGUUCUGAAUUUGCGAAUGUUCAAGGUAUUAGAGAAAGUUAAUAUUAUCGUUAAUUUACAUAUUAGUAUUUAUCUAGUUAUUAUAUAUUAGUUUGAAUUAUAAUAUAAUAUAGAAUUUGAAUCAAGUUUACUAUUAGUUUGAAUUACAAUAGGAAAUAAAGUUUGAAUUAUAGUAUAACUCAAAUAUAUUUGUAUAUAAAUAUCCAUCUUUAUCAAUGAGAAUAGUAAACCAUAUUUUUCUCUAUCUUCUUCUUUCUCUAUAUAUAUGGUAUCAAAGCCUCCAAAUCCUAAACCUAGUCUCAACUUAGAGCAAAUUUAGGGUGCAGGGUUUAGGCCCCGCCUCCCCCAACCCUUACCACAAAUGGUAGUGACCUUGUUAUGCCUAUGUAUUGUCAAUGCCUCAUUUUCUAUGGUCUUCAAUACAAUAUCUAGUUUCAAUGUCUCUUUCCUUACUAUCUCCAAUGCAAUAUAUUGAUUUCAAUAUCUCUUUACAACCAAGAGCUCCAAAUUUUCCUGGUUCAAAUCUACCAUAAUUUUUAUUCUCCUUUGCUUUUUACCAAUAUUAGUUCCCCUAAUUUAAUAUAUAUCUCUUUAUUACCUUCAACUCUACCUCUCUCUUUCUUUAAAAGCUUCCUCAAAGAUUUGAUUGCUUUCUUGCAUGUUUUGGGAAAACAAACAUGCUCAUAUUCUAUUACCUCUACUUGAGAUCUGCCUUAUACUCUACCUUCUUCUUUACCUCCUAUAUCAUCUACUACAUUAGCUUCAAAAACAUUAUUUAGUUUGAUGCUAAAUAAGGCUCCUAAUCCUACCCUUCCUUCAACUAACUUUCUUUUACAAGUCCCUCAAAGUUUUUUUUUUUUUUUUUUUGGAAAUUUGGCUUAGAAAGAUUUCAUUACUCUUACCUAAUCUUUCAACCAUCAAGUCGAAUCCACUUAUCUCUUGAAUCCAAGGAGACUACCCUCCACAAAAACAAGGAGAUUGACCCCCACAAUAACAAAGAGAUUGUCCUCCAUAGAAACAAAGAGAGCUUCCUUCAUGGAAGCCGAAUACAUCGCAAUCUAUUUUCUUUCUCUCAAGAUCAAAUCUCCAAUCGGAGCUCCAUCUUGUGGGGAUAUAUUAGAAAAAGUUAAUAUUAUCCUUAAUUUACAUAUUAGUAUUUAUCUAUAUUAUAUAUUGAAUUAGAAUAGAAUAUAGAAUUUGAAUUAAGUUUACUAUUAGUUUAAAUUACAAUAGGAAAUAGAGUUUGAAUUAUAGUAGAACUCAAAUAUAUUUAUAUAUAAAUAUCCAUCAUUAUCAAUGAGAAUAGUAUUCCAUAUUUUUCUCUUUCCCUGAGGCUUCAGAAUGUGAUCUUGAACAUUUGAUCUUUUGGAUUCUUCUUGUUUCGGUGGUUUAAUAUAAUGGAAUGUUUAAUUAUAGCCUACUUUAUCACCAUGGAUGUGCUCCUGCAGAUUUCUUGAGGGUGAUGGUUAUUUUGUCAUGUUUCUUGAAUGGUUUGCAUCAGCUGCCUGAGCUGUUGUUGCUGGUCACUUUUGCAACCAGGGAAAGAAUCAUGGCUUUGGAGAAGCCAGCUUCUGUUUUUGUUGCCCAGCUGUUAGUUCACUAAGAUUGGGGGUCCUAACAUGUAUGUAUAAUCAUAAGCAAGGAAAUUUUAUGUCUUACGCUAGAUAGGUACCAUGAUAUGAUGUUUGAUUGAUUUAUUAACUCUACCUGUUUCAAAAGGCAUCAACAUUAAUUUUACCCUUUUAACACAUUGGAUUGUUUGACCUUACGAGAUUUUCUAUUUCUGUACUAUUUGAACUGCAAUCGUUAUGGUCCUUAGGUCUCUAAACCUUCGUUUAAAAUAAAAGUAAGGAGCACACAUAGUAAAAGUUAAUUUUGGGUAACUUUUAAAACAAAGAGAAAAGUAAAAGUUGUUUUUGAGAAAAACAUAUAGAAAUUGAAAGAUUUUUUAUUUUGAGAAAAAAAAGUCAUAGAAAAGAAAUAAUAUCCCCAUAUAAGUAGAUAUGAUCUAUCCGAAGUGUAGCUACUCUCCUGGAUUUAUUCUAACAUUUUAAAAUUUUUCUCAAUGGGCAAAGGAAUAUCAAAUCAAGCUUGAGUAGGAUUAAUUUCUUAAUUUUUAAAAUAACUUAUAAUUAAAAUUUUUUGGUGUUUUCUUUUUUGGACAAUUUUUUAUGAAGACUCUGAAUCAUGCAAGAGAUAUGGUUAUUUUAAAAAAAAAAAUAAUUUAAAACUCAAAUACAUAAUCAAUGUCACAAAUUUAUAAACAAAAGGUUUUUAAAAAAUACUAUUAUUUCCCCUCUACACAUAAUUUUACUUUUCCGAUUUAUUUAUUUUUGUUGGAAAACAGUCUUCAAAUCAAGUAAAAUUAAUAUGUUAAAUUUGUUAAACAAAUAAAUUUUAAAAUACAAUUUGGAACUCAAAAAUCAAUUCAAGUAAUGCUAAAAUUCAAAAAAUCAAAUUUGGAAUAAAAUGACUUUGUAAAUUUUUUUACUAAACAAAUGAAUUUUAAAUCAAGUGAGAUUUAAUACAUUGGAUUUUUAUGAGAAUAGUAAUUUUAAAAAUUAAUUUGGAACUCAAAAAUAGACACAAUAAAUACCAAAAAUCAAUGAACCAAAAUUGGUUUGGAAUAACUCCAUAAUUUUUUAUUUAUUUAUAUAUUUAUUUUUUUGUGCACACGAAUUUCUUACUAAGCAUAUUGCUUCCAAAUUGAGAAAAAUUUACUAUUUAGAUUUUUUUAAUGAGUUUAAUGGUAUUUAAAAAUAAUUCAAAAAUUCGAAAAUUGACUAAUUUAAUAUUAUAAAUUCAUAAACCAAGACUAAUUCAAAAUGCAUUGGGGGCUAAGGGGGUUGAAAUUAAUGCUCCAUUUGGUUGUGGCCACCAAUUGGCAAUGGCCACCAAUCAACCAAUCAAGGUGGCUAAGGGGGUUGAAAAUAGGGACAAUGGGGUGGGUUUGGGACAGGACACUCAUAUCCCAUUCCCAUCCCAAUUACACAGUUAUUUCCCAUCCUUAUUCCAAACUUGUGUUGGGGCAAGUUGAUUUGUUCCCAUCUUUGUUAACGAAAUGACUAAUAACCUCAUCCUCUCCUUGUCUUAGAUGUACAUUUUCUCAAAUUUGGUCAGGUAUGAUUGAUUCAAGCCCUAACCUUAAUUGGUAAUGAGUGGAUACCACACCUAAUUGCAUUCUUCUUUCGUUGCAAAAUAAUGAGAUUAUAAUAAUCUAGCAAAUAAGAAAAAAUAGUAUGGAAGUUCAAAUUAACACCAUAACUAUCAAUAAUUUUAAGCUUAUAGAUGACUUAAAUGAUUGAAAACUAAUGCAAAAUACUAAAAAAAAAAAAAAUCAUCUAAAGAAUUCACAAGAGAAUAGAACGAACAAAACCAAAUAGGAACAUGGGUCAACAUUAGUUACAGAUUUUGAUCCCUUUCAAGGCCAAUCUUUGAACCAAGACUUCAUCAAAUCUACUACUUCAAAGGCUUUUGUGUUCUUCUUGAGUUGUACUCUGGAACAAAGACUUCGAGGUGAUGCUUUAGAUGAUUGCAUUACACAUAUUUAGGGUAGGGAGAUUGGAGAAGCUUGAAGAUGCCAACGAUGGGUACAAUUGAGUGGUCAAUAAGAACAAUGUGGCCUAUGACUAGUUUGAUGUCAUGGUAUAGGAGUUUUGGGCAUUGAGGUGAAAGCAAGAGCAACAUGGAAUUGAUUUCAAAGUCUUUCAAUUAGUGUAAAGGAGGAAGAAGAAGUGGUAUUGAUCCUAGAAAUAGUGUUUUAGGUGUUGCAUUAGAGGAAAAGAAAAAGAAAAAGAAGGAACCAUUGGAAUUAGUACGAGUGUGAAGAGAGAAGUGUAUACAUAAGGGGAAGUAAAAGCAAAGUUCUAAAAAUUUAUUUUUUUAUUGGUGGUGUAUGGUUGCAUGAUUAUCCCUAUAAAUAAUAGGAGUUUUUUGGUGUUCUACUAGUAGUUGAAGGAUAAUUUCAUAAGAUAAUAUUUAGAGCGGGGUGGGGUGAGUUGUGACAAAAUCCAUACCCGUCCCAAACAUUGGUUCAGGUUUUUAAAAUAUUUUCAAACUUAUCAUAUACCCAAUUUUAUAUUUCAUACUUGUCCUAAUAGAGACAGGUUAGUCAGGGUUACUUGAGUAGCCUACAAAACUAUCAUCCCUAGUUGAAAUGCUCUUUUUGGCAGUGGCAGCUAGAAGCUCGAUCGAUUGACCUACAAGACUAGUUGUCAUCAUUUUAAAAAGAGUUUUGGCUUUGGUUGUGAGUGCAAUUGAAUCUAAACUAACAUUUCCUUAAUGCAUCUACUUCAAUCCUAAACUUCUUACUUAAGCCUCAAUUGUUGUUAAGAUUUUGGAAAACCCAUUUCCUUAAAUUGUAAAUUUAAGAAAAAAAAAAUUAAAAGUGAGACAUUUCUUGAUUGAAUGUUGUUAAAGGUCCCUUGGAAUUAAGACUUGGUUGAAGCCUUGGAAGAUUAGCAGAACUCUCAACUUAUGUUUGAACCUUGAGGAGAGUGGACGUAGGCCAAAAUUUUGUCAAACCAUUAUACAAAUUGAGUUUGAAUUCUCAUUUCUUGAUUUCUUAUUUAUUUGCUUUUUCUUAUUAUUACUUGAAUUGUCAUUUGCAUUCAUUAAUGUUAAAAUUGGUUAUAAUUAGCCAACACUAAUUCUCUUUCCCCUUCCCUUAAUUUCUUGGGUGUAAACCUAGGUUGGAUUAACUAGAUUUUAUCAAAUCUAUUAAGAUGGUAAAAGAAUAAUUAUUCUUAACAUACAUAAGAUCAUCUUCAAUCAAAUGACUCAUUGGCUGAUAUGUUGAAUUUGCUUAUUACUUGCAACUCAAAAUUGUGUUCUAGUUGAUAUGUCAAGUCCUGAGUGUAUGGACAUUAAAUUUGUAGUACGUGAUGAGUAUUUAGAUGGUCCAAUUCCAAGAAAGUGAUUGAAAACUAGUUCAAGAAAGGUGCAAAAGGGAAUUGUUUUGGUAUUUUCGUUUUUAUUCUUGAAGGUGGCAGAGCUAAAAUUUGAGAAAUCAAGCAAAACAUACUGAAAUUACAUUGAAAGAAAGAAAAUGGGAGUUAAUGUCUUGCAGUACAUGAUAAGGACUUCAUGCAUGUAGUGUGACCCAUGUCUUGGACUGAUGCCACACUCACGGUUACACUUAUACCCUUAGUUCUCUCUUUACUACCUUAGCUAACCUAGAUCAGGUUAUGAGAUAGGCACCUCACCACACCAUUACUUGCCCAUUAAUUAGUGACAUUUUCAAGCAAUGAGGUAACAUGGUGACACCAAGAGGGUAUAUUCCUCACCCCCAACAAGCCUAGACCUGGUCUAAAAAAAAUGGAGAAAAAUGACGUGUUGUUAUGCAGAAAUAUAGCAACCAUGCCUUCCUCAUUACUUAGAUUCAGAAUGUGAAGGUGAAAUUGAGAAACAGAAACUCUUGAAACCAAAAUGAAAAUUGAUACUUUUACGAAGAAUUACAACAACAUUAGAGGAAGACUACAUUCUUCCUCUUUAUUCCUACAUUUCUACACUACUUCUACUCCACUCCAUAUUUCUACAUACAUCUUUAAUCAGUCUUCCCUCCUUUAUAUAGAGCCAUCUUCACACAAAUUCCGCAAGGUAGAAAAGAGGAAUGAAACUUGGAGCAAGGUUCGACUACUGGCUGUAGCUUGUCAAGGCUGAAAGUGAACUUUUUUUCUUGGCUUUUCUGGGCAUAGGUAGUAACUUGUAGGUUCCUUUUUGGAAUGAAAAUGGUACGGCUAGAACAUGUGGCACUCUCUUGUUGGAUGAUGUGUCAAGCAUGUGGCAGCCAUCUAGUGGAGAUUAUGUCAAUUUUGGGAUGGAGAGUUGGCAUCCAAUUGCAAAGAAAUAUGACAUCUACCAACAUGCAAUGUCAACCUAUGUAGAUCAUAUGAAGAUAGAGAGGAAAAAUAUAGAAAUGGAUAUAUAACUAGAACUAGCUUUUUAUUAAAUGAGACGGAGAGCCAACAAUGAAGGAAAAUCAAAAUUUUUGGCUCAUAUCAAAGAAUUCACAUUGUGUUACCCUAGGUUUUCUUAAAACUUACUUUUAUGAUAAUAAAAAAUCAUUAUUGUUUAAUCCUUUGUUUUAAACGCAUGUUUAGCAGGUUGUAAAAUGUAAAUAUCUUUCGAAAUUCAAAUAUGAAGAUAUGACAUCAUUUCAAGCAAUAUAGUCUCUAGGAAUUAAUGUAAAGCUAAAUUAAGGUGCAAUUAAGUUAGUUCAAUGCAUUAUUUUAAGAAACUUGACCUAUCAAAACCUUGUCUUACUUCAAAGCCUCUUUUUCUUUUCUUCCAACUAACAUUUUAAUAAGUGAUCGCAAAAGUACAAAAUUAGAUGAAAUCCAUUUCAAUGGUUAAAAUGAUCAAAUUCAAACUUUUUCUAAGUAUCUUUUAAAAGCAUCAAUAUUGAAAGACAAUUUUAUAUUUAGUCAAAGCUUGGACAGAGCCAAAAAGCACACAAAAAUUUAUAUUUUCUAGCUCUCUACCUUGGAUGGUCUCUUGAUCCUACUUGGAGAUGUGCAUAAAUAAAAGGAUUUGAAAAUGACAAUUGACUAAGUAUGUAGUCAAUCAAUUACUCAUUGAUUGACUAGUUGAUCAAUUAACUUUGCAACAUCAUAUGCAAUCCUAAUAGCUAGUCAUCUAAUCAACUAGGUAGUAAAUCAAUAGGCCAAAAAUAUGUUUAUAAUGACUAUUUUGUACAAAAACCACUUAUAUAGUUAAAUAUAAUGCAUUUCAUUUAUAAAUCUUCUAAUUCUUGAAUAACAAUCCUAUCAUCCUUUGAAAGUUUUUAUUACACCUUUUCUACAUUUGUUCUAAAACUUAUACAUCACCCUUAAUUGUACCAUGAGAACCUAGCAUUUUUUUUUUUUUUUUUGUAUUUCAUCAAAGUUAGCUCUUGUACUCAUUGUUGUAUUAUUUUUAUUGUAACUUAGAGAGCGAGUGUUUUCAAGUGAGUGAAAUUGACUUGUAAAUAUUGUAAAGAUUCAUUGAUAUGUAUCUCAAACUAGGUGUACAAGUUGAAACAUUUGCUAGUAGAUUUUCUCAAGAUUUAGAAUGAGCUUAAGGCUAUCGAAUUAGGUGGGGUUGCGCCAAACCAUAUCACAUCGUUGUUUGCACCUUUUUUUUCACUCUCUUUUACUUAGUUGCUCUAUAUAUAUUGUCUAGCAAUAUCCUAAAGGCUUGAUGGGCUAGGGAGCAUCCCUCUGAAUGAAAAAUUUUCAUUCAAUUCUUAGUUGUAUUACGCAUAUAUAAAAUGCCUCAUUGUUUUAAUGGUAUUCAGUCGUGGCACCACAGAUAUGGACAUCUAAAUUUUAAAAGUUUGAAACUUUUAGCUAAAGAAAAUAUGGUGCUUUGCCUUUUUGGAAAGCAUGUUGAUGAAAUCCAUGAGAAUUGUAUACUUGGAGAGCAACAUCGAGAUAACUUUUUUUUUUUCUUUUUUUAUAAUGCAUUGUUUGUCCAAAUUCCGUACAAAUUAGGCCACCACAUGUUCAUAAUUCUCCCUUCUUGAAUUUGAAAACUCGGACAAUUUGACAAUGCGACACCUAAGUCCGGUUUUUAAAUGCUAAAGUGAAAGGGCAGGUAUGGACCAUUGAAAUGUGAUAACAACUUUUGGCCUUUUCCUUUUCUCUGUAGCCAUGUUGUCUCUUUUUAAUUUCUUUUGCAUGAUUUUCUUACCUAAACAGAAUCAUAGACUUGUUUAAUCUCUAAGUGGGAUUUCAUCCACCUUAAGCUACUGUAUUAUAUCUCGGUGGAGGACAACCGACAUAGAGCACAUGCAAGUGGGUAUAUGGGACAUGAAAUAUCUUCUUAUAAAGCUUGUUUUGCAGUUAAAUUAAUUGGAUAAGUAGACACUGGCGUUUCUAAAUUUCCCACCUAAGAUAAUGACCUUAUCCUUGACUGCUAGAUACACAAACAAUUAUACCUUCAAAAUCUACUGUGAAGUGCUUCAUGUAUGUGUGAAGUAUUAGAAAUUUCUUUCUUGGCAACUUGUUUUUUUCUUUGCGGUCUACUGAUAGGUUUGACUAAAAUUAUAUUCCCUGUCCUGCUAAUUAAUUUUCACGUGCAUGCUCAAAAGAAGAGUAUGACCUUAGUGCACCAAAAUCACUUUCAAUAAUUUGUGAUAAGUUUUUUUGCAUGACAUUAACCUUAUUCAUUUAGAUAAUGUUUAGUUCUCAUAAAUAUUAAGAAAAUGAAAAUAAAUAUUAAGAAAAAUAUUCUUAUAUUUGAUUGUAUUAUGAAAAAUAUCAUAAAAAAUCAAAUAUAAUUAAAAUUAAUUAAUAAUUUAUAUAUUUUAAAAUUAUUUAAUUUUUAUAUUAAAGAUAUAAUAUAAAUGAAAUGAGUUUUAAGUAUUAUAUAAAAAUGAUUUAUUUAUUUAUUUAUAUAUAUAUAUAUAUAUAUAUUUAGUUUUUCUCUUUAUUUUAUUUUCCUUAUGUUUUCCUCACAUUUUCCGGAAUCAAAGAUAGGGAAAUCCACAAUUACCUUCAACUGAGUAGAUUCUAUUGUUUUAGCAAUGUUAGGCUGCUAACUUGUGGUGGUACGAACCAAAUGAUCCAUGUUAAUCUUGGCUUGAUUUAAUUUGGCUCUAUCUCAGAGAACUCAAGGAUCACGUCAACUCUGGUUUCUACUAUUCAGGUCCAUUCCCAGAUGAACUGGUUCAAAUUUGAGAAAAUGGUAACAGACCUUUAGUGAUAUUGGUUUGGAGCCAGUUGCCAAACCUGCCCUGAGCUUUACCACUAAUGUCAAGGGACAAAGCCAUUUGAACAAAAACAAUAGCUUCAAGAGACUGAAUCGUGGAUGAAAUCUGAUCCACAUUUCUUCUCAUUUUGGGAAAAAAUGAGGACUUAACCACAAAGAUUCUACUGCCUCAUAGUGCUUUUCCUGAUCUAAGGUUGGCUCGUUUCCCAAAUUGUGAGGUGCACGUGCCACUCUCACGCUCAGGAGUGUAUCCACGUGGUGGACAUAAGAUGGUGGCUUAAUAUCUGGUGUCGGUGGCUUUACUUUACUAGGAGAGUAGUGUGUCUUCAUCUCAUUCACUGCCAGAGGGUGGCGUAAGCAGUGACGCUAAGGUGGGGCACAGUCAAUAUCAUUUGCAUUUGACCAUUAUAAUUUUCUCCCGGCUUUAAAGUAACCUUAUCGUGAUAAUGGAUUACUAGCACUAGUUCAGAUGACAGUCAUGUUAAAUUCGGACCAUGUUUGUGUCACAUUAUCAGCAACCAUGUGCUUGUGGUUCAUGCUAUCUGCAACUAAACUUGAUAUAUAACCAGGUGAACUUCAAUCUAAAUUCUGGAAGUACUCAUGUGAUAGAUGGUGCCUGUCUGCAGUGAGUGUAUCUAUAAGAGGGAAGGCUUGGCAAAUGUUCAGUUUUCUGGGAAUUCAACAGGGAUCUAAAAUAGAUUGUUUUCUUUGCUGAUUUCAAUGGUUGAAAUUUGAGAAGAUUGUGUCCACAUAACACAACUAUUACUGGUCCUUCUGUUGCAAUUUAUCCUCUAAGGCUCUAACAUGUCUUCCAAUUCCCACUUCCCACUUCCCUGUUACUCCAGGAAAGCUGUUUCUGUCAUUGUGAAGAAGAAAAGAGACUGUACAUAUCGAUGCUUUUAAGUGGACUGGAGAAUUCAUAUCAGGUGGUCUGCAGCCAUACAUGCCACUUUGUGAAGGUUGGAACAGUCAAUCACUAGGCUAUAUUAGUGGGGCCCAGCCACUUCAAUCAAGGACAAGUCUUCAUACUUAAAGUCAAAUUCUGCCUUUAGUCUCAUUAUAAAUUGCUGUUUAAAUAUCAAGCAAACAUUUGUUUAAUGCGAUUAAGACAGCACUAACUCAAUACUUGUUCUAUUUUUGGAUGCAAAUGCUUGAUAGUUUCAUCAUUGGAGGGGAUAAAGGUGCAUUCAUGAUUAUGAAUACUUGUAGUUAUAUUUUCAUUCUCUUUUUUCUCAAUGGGACUUGUUGGCACAAUUUUGCUGUUCAGAAACCUACCUCUCCAUGGAAAAUCAGUUGUGAUUGAUAUUACUGGAUAUAUUCAAGAAAGCUAAAUGUAGAUAGCACAAAAUAUUAUCGACAUAAAUAGCAUUAACAGCGUACGUAUGUCUCAAUGCUCAUCAGCUAUAAGCAAGGGGCAAACACUUACUAUGAGCAACUUACGUCAAAAUUCCGGAAUAGGACAUAGAAGUGACAGGUCAGUAAAUAUAGAACACUGCAUAUGAGUCACAAGAAAGGAAAUUACGGGUACAUAGCAGCUCUUAUUUUACAUCCUACUCAUACUGAUCAAAGUCACUCAGUUGGGAUGGGUGGGAGUGGGAGGUUUGUGGGGUGGCUUGUGCGGAGGAGUUGGCAGCUUCUUUCCAGGACCUGGUUGCUUCUCUGCUGGAGUUGAAGGAGGCUUAAUCUUCCGAGGUGGCUUGUAUGAGUCUUCAGCAUUCUCAGCAGGAGGGUGACCAGGGUUGUGACCACAAUGUGGUGGCUUCUCUCCCUUAGGUGGUUUGCCAACUGGGGUUGGUGGCUUGUGUUCCGGAAGUGGCUUCUCUUUGUGUUCAGGAGGUGGCUUCUCCACUGGAGGCUUGUGUUCAGGAGGUGGCUUCUCCACCGGAGGCUUGUGUUCAGGAGGUGGCUUCUCCACCGGAGGCUUGUGUUCAGGAGGUGGCUUCUCCACCGGAGGCUUAUGCUCUGGUGGUGGCUUCUCCACCGGAGGCUUAUGCUCUGGUGGUGGCUUCUCCACCGGAGGCUUAUGCAAUGGUGGUGGCUUCUCCACCGGAGGCUUGUGUUCAGGAGGUGGCUUCUCUACCGGAGGCUUAUGCUCUGGUG